AUGAAUCUAACAAUUACGAGUAAUGUCUUUGUGACAAGAACUUUCUUUGUCUUUUAUUCCCAUGUUUGAACUAGUAUAGGUCGGGGUUACACAUUAUGGUGCACAUCACUUUAUUUAUCAUCGUUACAUUGAACGCUCAUUGACUAAACAACGAUGAUCCAUCCAUCUUGUAUUGUAGGUCUUCAUUUCAUUGGCCACCGAUGCUUGUAAGACUAGUCUCAUAUGGUUGUUGUUGUGGAUAUGGUUGUUGAGGUUGGUGUGGUUGCUGGGGUUGCUGGGAAAUUGUUUGUUCUGGUUGCUGGGAUAAUUGUUGUUGGGGCUGUAGAAAUGGUUGUUGUGGUUGUUGGGGUAAUGGUUGUUGUGGUUGCAGGAUGGAUGGUUGUUGGGGUUGCUGGGGUUGGGGCUGGGGAAAUGAUUGUUGUGAUUGUUGGGGUUGCUGGGGAAAUGGUUGUUGCGGUCCUAGGAGGAAUGAUUAUUGUGGUUGUUGGGGGAAUGGUUGUUGNNNNNNNNNNNNNNNNNNNNNNNNNNNNNNNNNNNNNNNNNNNNNNNNNNNNNNNNNNNNNNNNNNNNNNNNNNNNNNNNNNNNNNNNNNNNNNNNNNNNNNNNNNNNNNNNNNNNNNNNNNNNNNNNNNNNNNNNNNNNNNNNNNNNNNNNNNNNNNNNNNNNNNNNNNNNNNNNNNNNNNNNNNNNNNNNNNNNNNNNNNNNNNNNNNNNNNNNNNNNNNNNNNNNNNNNNNNNNNNNNNNNNNNNNNNNNNNNNNNNNNNNNNNNNNNNNNNNNNNNNNNNNNNNNNNNNNNNNNNNNNNNNNNNNNNNNNNNNNNNNNNNNNNNNNNNNNNNNNNNNNNNNNNNNNNNNNNNNNNNNNNNNNNNNNNNNNNNNNNNNNNNNNNNNNNNNNNNNNNNNNNNNNNNNNNNNNNNNNNNNNNNNNNNNNNNNNNNNNNNNNNNNNNNNNNNUGCAGGGGGAAUGGUUGUUGGGGAAUUAUUUGUUCUGGUUGCUGGGGGAAUGGUAGUUGGGGCCGGGGAAAUGGUUGUUGGGGUUGCUGGGGGAAUGGCUGUUGUGGUUGCAGAGGGAAUGAUUGUUGGGUCUGGGGAAAUGGUUGUUGUGAUUGCUGGGAAAAUUGUUGUUGGGGUGUGGGAAAUGGUUGUUGCGAUGGAUAUGGUUGCUGUGAUGGAUAUGGUUGUUGUGGAUAUGGCUGUUGUAGAAAUGGUUGUUGUUGAUAGGAAAAUGAUUGUUGAGGUGAUUGUAAUUCUUUGUUGCUAGGGUUUAGCUGCCUAGCGGCAGUGGCGAUGUUCAUCGCCAUGGCAAGGAGGACAAAGAUGAGGAAGGUCUUCAUGUUGGAUUUGUGGUUACUACUGCUUGCUUGCUUUUGAUGCUUGUGGUCUAGGUGUGUGAAGUUUGGAUGAUGAAAUGUGGUCUUGGUGGUGCAUGUGUAUUUAUAGUUUUCAUGGCAUGGCUUGCUUUCUUCUUCCCACUCGCUUUUUGAAAAAGUGCACCAAUGCUUAUCCAACUAAUCAUUUGAUUUGUUGUGUUUGGUGCAACUACUUACUAGCAAGAUUUUGGAUUUUCAUGAUAGUUGCUUUUUGUUGAAAUCAUCUGGUUGUAAGGAAUGUUGGAUAAUGACCAAUGACUCAUCUUCUUCACUUUACACUGCAAACAUUGAUCUAAAUUAUAUCCUUUUUUGAAAUUUAGUUUGUGAAGCUCUACAUGUUGUUAGGCUUAUCUAUAUUGGCAUAGCUUGAGUGGAAUUAAGUUUGUAAGCUUGUGAGCGUCAUUAUGAUGGAUCACACUAUUAAUGUGAUGAUUGUACUACAAAUUAUCUUUCCAAAACUAAUUUUAUGUUUUUUCCCAAUAUGAUUCUAAGACGGAUAACCAGACAUGACUCAUCAAAUAACAAGAUAAACCGAGUAGCAAAUUGGGGUUAUAAGUUAUAACAUGGACUUUUCUCUAAGAUACACUAUCUUGUCUUGCAUGCUCUGUGAAUUUGAAAAGCAUCUACUAAUUUAUAUGCAAUUGAAACAAAAGUAGACCAGAAAGAUAAGCAAUGAAAUGAGAAUACUAUUAUGUGAAGCUCUACAUGUUUGGCAAGCAAUAAGAUACUGGAUACAUCUAUAUCUUCAAUCCUGACAAUUUUUCUCAUCCCUAUCAACUCUUUAUUGGCUGCCUUUACUGUAGUCAUCCCUUAAAUAAAAAUCACUUAAAGAUAAGUUUGGGAGCUAGUACCAGCAUCUAUCAUGUACAAGAUAAAAAACUAAGGCACAUAUAGUAGUCUAUUGACUAUAUUUAAUUUCAUGUGAUGUGAAAGCAUGUGGAGUAUAAGUUGGUUAAAUAUAAAAUUGUCCUUCAUACCAGUAGGGAAAGAAUAUGCAGUAUAAAGAUUAGAGCAUUAUUAAUAUGCUAUUAAAUGCUACAGGAUAAUCGAUAGUUCAAGUUAAGAACAACAAUAGCAUUCCAACUUUUGUUUUGUGCAAGUUAAGAACAUGCUAACAAAGUAACCUAAGCAAAUAAGUGCAACACCUUCACCUAUAAGGAAAUUUUGAAACUACACAAAAUGACCUAUUGUAAAGAAGGAAAAAAAUCUAAAGGUGAAUGAAAAGCAUGUUAAGUACAUUCAGGAUUCGGUUAUGCCUUCAUGGAUAACCUUUUAGAUGGUGACUUGUCAACCUUGAUGUGUGUCGGCAUGGAACGAGGACAAGAAGACAUCGUUACGUCGUACUUUGGGAAUUUCAUCAAACUGGUUGUGUGCGGGAACAAAUAUUUGUCGCCUCCCUGCUCAAAUCUCUCUUCAUGUCACUAAAUCCGACACUCCACCUACCAAAAUCAGCUGCAAGCCAGGGACAAUCAACAGGUUUCUCCGCCCGUAGCAUCUAUCACCAAAAGAAGUUCAGACUAUAGUCUUGUAGUUUAAAAUUUUGUAAUAACAAGCACUACUAGGUUGCUCUUGUUUGUACGUCUUCAUUAUGUACAACCCAUGGAACUUAAAAUGCAUGGGUCAUUCUUCGGUAUAUACAACCAAUGCAACCAAACAUGCAUUGGGCUUUUCUUUGUACAUCUUCAGGUUCUACAACCAAUGCAACAAAAAAUCCAUUGGGCAGUCUUCCAUUCUAGUCGGGCACCAAUAGUUAAACGAGGAGCUAAACAGUGUUGGAGUCUAAAACUACAUACAAUCAUGAAGCAGAGAGAUGCGACUUGGAAGUUGUGCUCCUGUGAGCUCGUAUUUUUGAAGAAAAAAGUAAUAUUUGUAUUUUGAAGUGGGAAAAAGUCCUAAAAAGGGAUGUUUUGCGGGUUAUAACUUACUAUUUUUGAGUCCUGGGCUGCAGGAAGGUCGUAAAAAAUCAAUGUGUUUUCCCAUUCAUGCAUGUUUCUUGGGUUAUAGGUCACGCUUUUGGUGUCCUAGGGAGAUCACUUCCCCAGUUGGGAACAUUAGGUGAUGAUUUUUAGCAAAACUCAUUGUUUUAGCCUAACUAGUUUCGAGGAUUGGUGGACAAGAUUAUCAUGGAACAAAGUGACAACCUUCCUUUUCUUCAUGCCUAAUAUAAACUUAGCAGUCAACUAAAAGUAACUAGCGAUAUCACAGAAUGUUUUUUUGUCAAAAGUAGAUACCACUUCAGGAUUCAACUCGGUUAGUUCAAUCAUAGACAUGUUAAGAGCAGGAUUUACAACUAACUGCAUAGGGAACAUCUCCUUUUAUCGCCCACUAUCUGUCUAUGCACUUUGGUUUUCCCGUAGCAGCACACAAAGCACUUUGUUAGUACCAAUAAUGUGCUCCAACUCUACACAUUAAUCAUCUUGAAUUCUUCUACUGAUGUCGAACAAUGUUAUAUCUUGAAUUCUUCUAACGAGUUCAGAUUAUACUACAUGGGCAAUUUAUCUGGUCCCUGAGAUGCAAGGUCGAUGAACAAUCGCUUCGUCUGAUGAUGAGGGAUUGUUUUUGCCUAAGAAACCAAUACAUGUAACUUCGACGCCAGAUUAAUAAUUGGUAAAACCCAAAUAAAUUAGAUCACGAGCUAAACCAUUUAAUUUUGUAUGCAUUUAAACUUUUGAUACAUAUGAGCUUGUUAAGAUGUUCGCAUAAACACCAUGGUGAUUUGAAGCAAGACAAAGUAAACUUGAACCGCUUGAGCCACUGACUUAAUAAGAACCUCCUUUCCCGUGGCAGAGAUCGUUUUUAAUACAUCCACUCACUUUGGUUCUCUUAUGAAAUCUAGAUUCCUUCGCUAAGGCUAUUGCUCCAGUAUUGUCACAAAAGAUUUUUGUUGGACCCGAUGCACUAGGUAUGACACCUAGAUCGGAUAUGAACUCCUUCAUCCCGACUCCUUCAUUUGCUACUUCCGAAGCAGCUAUGUACUCCUCUUCACAUGUAGAUCCCUCCACGACGCUUUGCUUGAAACUGCACCAACUGACAGCUCCACCAUUCAAUAUAAAUACGUAUCCGGUUUGUGACUUAGAGUCAUCCAGAUCAGUGUCAAAGCUUGCAUCAACGUAACCAUUUACAACGAGCUCUUUGUCACCUCCAUAAAUGAGAAACAUAUCCUUAGUCCUUUUCAGGUAUUUCAAGAUGUUCUUGACCGCUAUCCUAUGAUCCACUCCUGGAUUACUUUGGUACCUCCCUGCUAAACUGAUAGCAAGGCACACAUCUGGUCUGGUACAUAGCAUUGCAUACAUGAUAGAACCUAUUGCUGAAGCAUAGGGAAUGACUUUCAUUUUCUCUCUAUCUUCUGCAUUGGUCGGGCAUUGAGUCUAACUCAACUUCACACCUUGUAACACAGGCAAGAACCCUUUCUUUCCUUGAUCCAUUUUGAACUUCUUCAAAACUUUAUCAAGGUAUGUGCUUUGUGAAUGUCUAAUUAACCGUCUUGACCUAUCUUUAUAGAUCUUGAUGCCCAAUAUAUAAGCAGCUUCACCGAGGUCUUUCAUUGAAAAAUUCUUAUUCAAGUAUCCUUUUAUGCUAUCCAGAAAUUUCGUAUCAUUUUCGAUCAACAAUAUGUCAUCCACAUAUAAUAUCAGAAAUGCUACAAAGCUCCCACUCACUUUAUAAAGGCUUCUCCAAAAGUCUGUAUAAAACCAUAUGAUUUGAUCACACUAUCAAAAUGUAUAUUCCAACUCUGAGAGGCUUGCACCAAUCCAUAAAUGGAUCACUGGGCUUGCACACUUUGUUAACACCUUUUGGAUCGACAAAACCUUUUGGUUGCAUCAUAUACAACUCUUCUUUAAGAUAUCCAUUAAGAAAUGCAGUUUUGACAUCCAUUUGCCAAAUUUCAUAAUCAUAAAAUGCGGCAAUUGCUAACAUGAUUUGGACAGACUUAAGCAUCGCUACGGGUGAGAAGGUCUCAUCAUAAUCAACUCCUUGAACUUGUCGAAAACCUUUCGCAAAAAGUCGAGAUUUGUAGACAGUAACAUUACCAUCAUCGUCAGUCUUCUUCUUGAAGAUCCAUUUAUUCUCUAUGGCUUGCCGAUCAUCGGGAAAGUCAACCAAAGUCCACACUUUGUUCUCAUACAUGGAUCCCAUCUCAGAUUUCAUGGCCUCAAGCCAUUUCGAGGAAUCUGGGCUCAUCAUUGCUUCCUCAUAGUUUGUAGGUUCAUCAUGGUUGAGUAACAUGACCUCCAGAACAGGAUUACCAUACCACUCUUGUUGGGAAUAUGACUACCAGGUAUGACCCGCCCAGGAGGGGCCGGGUCAAUCCUAAUGGCGGGUUACUAAAAGAAGCUCAGUGAAUAUACAAGGCGAUAGUUUAUUAUAAGACUUGUAGUAGGACCAAGCCCAAAGGCGGGUUAAGGCCCAUAAUUGUAAACCGCCAUGUAUAAGAAAGAAUUGUAAAGAAAGGCAUGUAAGAGAAGUCACCGAGCCGGGCACGUUAUAUGAGCCGGCUGGGACUCUGUAGGCCGCCAGGCGUCAACCCGUGUAUAUAAGGGGACGACCCGGUGGCGGCUUAGGGCAAGUAACAUCAAAUCGAGAGCCAUGCAUAGCGUAUUUGCUCCCUGGUCAUCGAAACCUAGCAAUACCACAUCAACUGGACUAGGCUUUACCUUCACCGUAGGGGGCCGAACCAGUAUAAACCUUUCGUGUCCUUUGUCCCGAUUAACCCCUUUAAGCUUCCUAGUUGCGAUGGCUCCACGACUAAGUCCUUUCAGUAGGACAUCUGCCGUGACAAUUCCACGACAGUUGGCGCCCACCGUGGGGCCAUCGCACGAUGGAUUUGAGUUCUUGAAGGGCAGCUUCCAAGGGCUCAAGGGAUACGCUGUGGGCCGGAUAACCAAAAGUUGUCACAGCAAGCUCUACAUCGACGACGCAGGCUGGGGCCCCGAGGCUGGCUCAAUCGAGUACGGGUACCGGGUCCCCUUCGGCGGAAUCCACGUCUUCAUCGGCCGGAUCGGCGAGCCGGGCCCUGAGUCGGACAUCUGCACCGACCUCAUCGAGAUGGCUCAGCGAGUGAGACCUGCCCGGGCUCAACCUGCCGUGAGGCGUGCCUUCGUGGGUUGCAUCCAUGGAGGGGAAUUUUCUGAAGGAUCGAUGGACGGUGGUGAGACAGUCGUUUGCUCUAGCAGUGAGUCGUCCAUAGGCGAGACAGAUUCUUUGUAUCAGCUACAAGAUGGCGGGCUUGGGGGCUGUUCCGAUGGCAGUAGUAUUCCGGACCCCUCUGAGCCGCCGAAUCGAGCCGGAGUCUUCAUGGCUGGCACUCAACCUGGUUAGAAUUCUAUGGCUGCGGCAGCAAUAACCACUGGGUCAGCAGGGGCCGGGUCAGGAGACCCCGCGCGCCCACCGGCUCAGGUACUAAUGGACCUCAUGGAUAGGAUGACGGCCCUGUUGACUGCUGUGGUUGAGCCGGCAGAUAAGGCUCAGCAUGACGCAGAGGUAGCACAGCUACACAGAGAGGUAGCACAGGCCAAGGAAAAUUUAGUGGCGGAAGAUGUCAGGAUGGCCGCGGAACGGGCGGCUCUGGAUGCACGGGCUCGGCAGCUUCAAGCGAAGACUUUCUGGCUCUCGGUGGAUCUGAACGCAUCAAACGAGGUCACGAGGAGAAGGCACCAGAAGGCUCAAUCAUGUCUGCCUCUGACUUACGAUCCUAGGAACCUUUUUCACACACCCGGGACUGGUCCCAGUAACCCGCUGAAGGCAAACCGGAUCACAACACCCGGGACCGGGACGCCGGUUCAACCGCGGGCCAUGGAACCACCGCGUGUGAAUACUGCUCUGCCUCACUACACAGCGAUACCACCGGGUCACUUCUCUAACCCCUUGGAGAACCUUAUUGCUGCGUCGGCUCAUCUGGCGGCUCUCCCGAUGGAAGGUGACUCUUCGACGGCGAUCGAGACACGACGGGUCAGAGAACUUCUUCAGACGGCUCUGGCACAGCAGGAUGCAUAUUCUUAUAGUUGAGAUAGAAUCCAUUCAACCCCUCGCCCAAGCCGGAGCCCAAGCUAUAGCAGGCAUAUGGACUCGGCGGCCAUGUCAAGCAACACCCAGCGCCGUAACCAUCCACGUGGGCGUGACCCGGCCCCGGGCGGAGCUUGUAACUUGGUAGACCAGGAGAGGAUCCGUCAAGAGGCUGAACGGGUGGUUCAACAGGCGGCUGAGCAAGCGGCUCACCAAGCUUUUCCAAUUUAUACAGUGACCUCUGUUGAAGCAGGGGUGGCCACAAGGACAGGAGGAGUCCCUUGUCUUGUGCAGUCUCUGCGUAAUGAGCGUUUACCAAAGGACUUUAAGGGGCCUCGUAAGGUGCCCAAUUACACAGCCGACCUGCAGCCCGGAGCAUGGAUUGAAAGUUACGAGAUGGCCAUGGAGUUAUUAUAAGUCAGUGACGCAGCAAUGGCCAAAUACUUCACCAUGAUGUUGGAUGGAACAGCUCGUACUUGGUUAAAGGGGUUACCGCCCAACUCCAUCGGCUCAUGGGCGGAGUUGAAGGCACGGUUCAUUCAGAACUUUAAAGAUACCUGUAAACAGCCCAUGUCAAUCGUGGACUUGACUAACUGCAAGCAAGAGGAAGGCAAAUCCAUGACCCAUUGGGUGCGCCGGGUCAAGGAAAUAAUACAUUCAUCUGAUAAGAUGGAUGCCAGCUCCACGGUCUUAAUGUUGGAGAAAAAUUACCGUUUUGAACCUCUGAAACAGAAGCUGGGGCGGCUCAAGCAUGAUUGUAAUGACAUGGGCCAGUUGAUGGCGGCUCUGGUCAAAUAUGCUGACUCUGACAGUACCAAGGAUCCCAUGUCUGACGAAGAGAAGACGAGGAAGGGAAAGAAGAACGGCAACGGCAAGGGUCACCAGCAUAACCCGACAAAUCAAGGAGGUAAUAAACGCAAGGCUGACGAGUUUGUGGCUAACACCAAUGCACAUGGCAACAACCAAUGGCGCAAGGGGAGGCCACCUCCUCGGUCAGGCGGAUCAGGUCCCACCCUCGAGCAACUACUAAAUGAACCCUGUCCGGGACAUGGCACCCGGGAGAAGCCGGCUACCCAUCUGUGGAAGGAUUGUACGAUCAUGAAGGCUUUUAAGAAUUCUAACAUGUUUGAUGGUAACCACGGGCCUGCUGGCGGCUCAGGCGGUGGCGGUUUUCAUGGCCAAGGCCAUCCGGGUAGUCAAGGCGAUUAUAGUCAGCAAUCCGGCCAGGGCAGUCAGCAACAGCAGCAACAGCCCGUGUAUCAGAGUAACCCAAAACAGCUGAACAGUGGACAGUACCAUGUGUUUACCACCAGUUUGUGCAAGAGGGACCAGAAGCUUCAGAAGAGGGAUGUAAAUGCUAUUGAGCCGGCGGUUCCACGUUAUUUGAGAUGGUCUGAACAACCUAUUCUGUGGAGUAGGGAAGAUCACCCACCCCGGGUUGAUAAUCCGGGUCAUCUGGCUUUGGUGGUGGCGCCUCAGGUUGGUGGAUAUAAGUUCACUAAAGUGCUCAUGGACGGAGGCAGUAGCAUCAACGUCCUCUAUUAUGAGACGUUCUGUCGCAUGGGGUUGACUGAUAAGAGUCUUAAAACAUCCAACACUGUUUUUAUGGGGUAGUGCCUGGUAAGUCGGCGUACCCAGUUGGUAAAAUUGAGCUGGAAGUGGCCUUUGGAGAUGAGUAUGAUUCUAGGGCUGAGAAGCUAACUUUUGAAGUGGUUAAAAUCAAGAGCCCAUAUCACGCUCUGUUUGGACGGCCGGCUUAUGCUAAGUUCAUGGCCCGGCCGUGUUAUGUGUAUUUGCAGCUCAAAAUGUUGGGUUAUAAAGGCACUAUCAUAGUACAUGGAAGCCGGAAAAUAGCCCUGGAAUGUGAAGAAGGUGAUGCUGCAUAUGCCGAGUCUGUUUGUGCAACAGAGGAAUUGAAGUUUUAUAAGGAUAAUGUUGACCCGGCAAACAUGGCGUCUUUGAAGAAGCCAACUACGGAGCAUGAGCCGGCAUUGAAAUUCAAGUCCGCUGAUGACACCAAGAUGAUUGAUUUCGUGUCUGGCGACUCAUCCAGACACUUCAUUAUCAGUGCUAACUUGGAUCCAAAAUAGGAAAGCGUGCUCAUCGAGUUCAUCCAUGAGAACCGGGACAUCAUUGCAUGGAAGCCUUCUGACAUGCCGGGUGUUCCGAGAGAACUCGUUGAGCACACUCUCAAUAUUCAUCCAAAGUUUAAGAUGGUCGGGCAAUUUCUUCGGCGGUUUAACGAGGAAAGGUGCAAGGCCAUUGGAGAAGAGGUGGCCCGGCUCUUGGCGGCCGGGUUCAUUGUUGAAGUUUUUCACCCAGAGUGGUUGGCUAACUCGGUGCUUGUGCUUAAAAAGAACGGCACCUGGCGCAUGUGUGUGGAUUACACAAAUUUAAACAAGGCUCGUCCAGCUGAUCCUUUUGCUCUCCCUCGUAUUGAUCAAAUCAUUGAUGCUACGGAGGGUUGUGAGCGUUUGAGUUUUCUGGAUGCUUAUUCGGGUUAUCAUCAGAUCAAGAUGGCAGUUAAGGACCAGGAGAAAACAGCUUUCAUCACUCCGUUUGGAGCCUUCUGCUAUGUGUCUAUGCCUUUUGGGCUCAAGAGUGCCCACGCGACUUAUCAGCGGUGUGUACAAAAUUGCCUUCAUAAUCAGAUUGGGUGUAAUGUUCAUGCUUAUGUGGAUGAUAUAGUGGUGAAAUCCAGAGAGAAGGAAACCUUAGUAGCUGAUCUAAAGGAAACCUUUGGUAACCUCCGGGUCUACAAGAUGAUGCUUAACCCGGCCAAGUGUGUUUUUGGAGUCCCAGCUGGCAAGCUCUUGGGUUUUUUGGUGUCUAAUGGAGGCAUUGAGGCUAACUCGGAGAAAAUAAAGGCAACCACGUCUUUGGCUAAACCGGCAUGCAUCAAUGACGUUCAGCGGCUGGCGGGCCGUGUCGCAGCUUUAAGCCGGUUUAUAAGUCGGUUGGGCGAGAAGGCUAUGCCAUUGUAUCAAAUGAUGAAAAAGGUGGAUGACUUUGUAUGGAGUGACGCUGCUGAUUCCGCUUUUGAAGGUUUGAAAAGACAGCUUGCUGGGCCACCUAUUCUUGCUGCCCCCGUUGAGAAGGAGCCGCUAUUGUUAUAUGUGGCUGCUAACUCACAAGCCGUCGGCAUGGCCAUUAUUGUGGAGCGCAAGGAGGUUGGCAAGGAACAUCCAGUUCAAUGGCCGGUUUACUACGUCAGUGAGGUGCUCAUUGGAUCCAAGAAAAGAUACCCACAUUAGCAAAAACUUGUUUAUGGGGUGUUCAUGGCAAGCCGGAAGCUUAAGCAUUACUUCCAGGGUCAUCCUAUCACUGUGGUUAGCUCUGCUCCUUUAGGAGAUAUUAUUUAGAACAGAGAAGCCACAGGACGAGUCGCCAAGUGGGCCAUUGAGCUUGGGGUCUCAUAAUAUAAAGUAUGUGCCACGUACGGCUAUUAAGUCUCAAGCACUGGUGGACUUCAUUAAUGAUUGGACGGAGUUACAGACACCUGAAGAGAAGCCAGACAACACAUAUUGGACGAUUCAUUUCGAUGGGUCCAGGCAGUUGGAAGGCUCGGGGGCUGGAGUUGUGUUAACUUCUCCUCGAGGUGACAAGUUUUGUUAUGUGUUGCGAUUGAUGUUUCCUUGUACUAACAAUGCAGCAGAAUAUGGGGCCUUGCUCCAUGGUCUUCGAAUGGCUAAAGAGAUGAGUUUAAGACGGGUACGGUGCCUUGGCGACUCAGAUUUGGUGGCUCGGCAGGUGUCAGGCAAGUGGGAUUCCAAGGACCCUCUCAUGGCGGCUUAUCGCCGGGAAGUUGAUGAUGUUGUUGGACAUUUCAAAGGUUAUCAGGUGGAGCACAUUGACCGCAGAAAAAACAAAGCGGCUGAUGCUUUAAGCCGGUUGGGAUCACAGCGUAAGCUGGUGCCACCUAACACUUUUCUAGAUGUUCUUCAAAACCCUUCUGUCAAACUGCCUACAGAGGAAGAUUUGGUCAUUCCAGACCCGGAGGCACAGUUAGUAGCGGCUCUUCAUGUUAUUCCAGAUUGGACAUUACCGUAUUUGGCUUACAUGACCCGGGGUGAGUUGCCAGAGGAUGAGACCUUGGCUCGACAGAUAACCCGACGGUCUAAGUCAAUGACAAUUUCCAAUGGUGAGUUGUAUCAUCGCAGCGUCACUGGAGUGUUUCAACGUUGUGUCUCUCCCGAAGAAGGUCAAGAAAUUCUUCGUGAGAUCCAUGAAGGGGAUUGUGGUCAUCACGCUGGUUCAAAGUCUCUUGUGGCUAAAGCUUUUCGUCAUUGUUUUUACUGGCUAACGGCUCACGCUGAUGCAGAGGAUCUGGUCAGUAGGUGUGAUGGGUGUCAAAAAUUUGCACGACGAGCGCACGUGCCGGCUUAAGAAUUGCGGAUGAUUCCAAUCACUUGGCCGUUUGCAGUCUGGGGGCUUGACAUGGUUGGACCUUUUAAAAGAUCCAAGGAUAAAAAGACACAUCUUUUGGUGGUAGUUCACAAAUUUACAAAAUGGGUUGAGGCAGAGCCGGUUAGUAAGUGUGAUGCAGCCACGAUGGUUCAGUUCAUGAAAAAGGUGAUCUUUCGUUUUGGCUUUCCACAUAGCAUUAUAACUGACAAUGGUACUAAUCUGUCCAAAGGCAACAUGGAGGAGUUUUGUCAAUGUGAGCAUAUCCGGCUUGAUGUUUUGUCUGUAGCUCACCCCCAAUCCAAUGGUCAAGCUGAGAGAGCAAAUCAGGAAAUCCUAAAAGGUCUCAAGCCCGACUUAUGGUUCGUUUACAACGGACGCCGGGUUGUUGGGUGGAGGAAUUACCCUCGGUGCUGUGGAGUAUCAAUACCACUCCUAACAGAUCUACAGGUUAUACACCUUUCUUCAUGGUUUAUGGAGCAGAAGCAGUUCUGCCUAGUGACAUCCGUCAUGACUCACCUCGCGUGGCGGCCUAUGUUGAAGCUGAUAAUGAACAAGCCCGACAGGAUGCACUUGACUUGUUAGAUGAGGAGAGAGAUUUGGCAGUGGCUCAAUCAGCAAUUUAUCAACAAGACUUGCGCCGUUAUCACAGCCGCCGGGUUAAGUCCAGAACCUUUCAAGAAGGUGACCUAGUGCUCCGGCUCAUCCAGGAUCUGUCUGAUGCACACAAGCUAUCCCCGCCUUGGGAAGGACCCUUUGUGGUCAACAAGAACUUAAACAAUGGGUCAUAUUACCUCAUUGAUGUUCGAGAGCACAAAGACCCACGUAAGUCGGAGGAGGAGACCCGCCGGCCGUGGAACAUCGCUCAGCUUCGGCCAUACUACACUUAAACCAUCGGCUCUCAUCAUGUACAUACUUUGACGUUGUAUAUAAUAUGAUAAGUAAUAAAGCAGGACCUCUGUCCUUUUUCCCCUUCAAUGAUCAUAUAUCUUUAUUAUUUUCAUUAUUUAAAAUGACCAUUAGGGGGCUGAUCGUAUCCGAAUCUAGCUUAACCCUUUUGGUCCGGCUCAUGAUCGUAUUCGAAUCUAGCCGUAAAACUCAUGGUCACUUGGGGGCUUCCUGUUCAAACAUAGGUCGUAUUCGAACCAAAGAGAACAUAGCUGUCGUAACCCUCUUGAUCGGCUCAAAGCCAAACUCACUAGGGGGCUUCUUGAUCGUAUCUGAAUCAUAGCUUAACCCCUUUUUGGGUCCAACUUGGAUCGUAUUCGAAUCAGGGUCGUUAAAAACCUCUCAAGGUCAUUUGGGGGCUUCCUAUUCAAACAUAGGUCGUAUUCGAACCAAAGAGAACAUAGCUGUCGGUACCCUCUUGAUCGGCGCAACGCCAAAGCCACUGGGGGCUAUAUGAUCGUAUCCGAAUCUUAGCUUAACCCCUUUGGUCCGGUUUACUGAUCGUAUUCGAAUUAGAAGCCUCCAGUUUUUAUUUAAAUGUUUGAUUUACAUUGUCUGAAGCCUAGUGUUUUAUCUUACUAUUUUUAUCGUCUCAAAUCUAACUGUUAGUAUGGUUUCAAAUUAAACCGGCUUGGCUAUUUGACAAUGUGUCGCCAAGGCAUAACAGUCAUCAGACAUAUGGAAGUAUUGACUUCUAAAAAAGAUUGGGUUAUCAACCUCAUCAUCCGGGUCAUGUAAACCGACAGUCCAUGUUCAAAAACCACAGGUAUGACAGUGUCAUUCAUGAACAGACUUCCCUGGGUUUUUCGUCAGUCAAAGGAUUUUUCAGCCUUGUUUAUCUUACAUCUGGUUCUAUUUUUUCCACUAUGAUAAUUUCAUAAUCAUGUACCGGGUGUUUUGACCCGUCCGGUGCUAAGCCACCGGGACAGUUUUUUUCAUCUUUUACAGGAACAGAGUUAAAACAUUACAGAUGUAACCACGAUGUAAUGCAUAUAUAUAUUGACAUCAUGGGCAAAGAGUCAUAUGAAACAUCUUAUGCACGAUGGCAUAGGCAAAAUAUGCAAUUUUCAAACUAACCUAUUACAAGGCAUUGAGAGCCCAAAAGGUUAAACGGUUUUCUCUCUUAAGCAGGUCUUAAGCUAAAAACUGGAUUGUUCAGAUGGUUAUGACUCCUCCCUGGCCGUUUCACCUCCCUCCACUGGUUGGAAGCUGGGAUUGGACCAGUCAAAGCCGUUCAGAGCAAUGAACUCAGCCUCAUCGUCAAUUAGGCCGGCCGGGUCAAUUUGCAGGGCAAAAGUGUGUUGACGAACCGGCGGGAUAAGAUCCAUCACUUUAUAAGAGGGAGUCGCCAUCUUUUUAUUCUCCAUAUCAAAACCCGACUGAUAUUUUUCGAUGUUGGUCUCCUCACCAAGAAUGGUAGCCUGAGGACGAACUCCCCUCACACAAGCAAUAAAGUCAUCUUGCUCAAACGGAGUCCCGUCUUCCUUCAUGGUAGGGUACCCCUUAGCCACGUCCACCGGGUGUAAAUCGGGCACCCAGGCUUUGGAGCGGCUCAGGGCAGUCAGGGCUCCGACUCUGGCACAAGAUCGUUUGACCUCUUGAAAUCUGGCGGGUAAGAUCGAUAACUUCUUCAAAACAUCACUUAAACGGUUGGGUCCUUGGUUGGCAGGGGAUAUAUAUAGUAGAAAGUGCUCGUUGAGCACCAGUGUACAGUUGCUCCACCAAGGUAUAAACCGCCUUCAGUUUUGUCACACUAUCUUGACUCAGAUAUUUUACUUCGUGGACCUGUGAGUACUUUUUAACAAAGGCUCAGCAGGCGGCUUAUAUUUCUGGUUAAAAUAAAGUAUAAGUGACUAAUGCAAAUGACUUACCAAAGAUGGCGGAGACCAUUUGAUACACACGGUUUUUUAAGCCGGUGAGCUCCAUGGUAACCUCCUCAAGAGUCGCCUCUGCUGUCUUGGCACGUUGUGUCAGCAAGGUCUUCUCAUCGGCCCAGGAUUUCUUCUUCUCAGUCACACUGGUCUUCAAUUUUUCAGUUUUAGAGAGACUCAAUUGGAGUUUGGAGUUAGCAGUCUUUAUCUCCGCUUCUUGAUCCGCCAGCCGGGUCUUUGCAUCCGUCAAUUGAGAUCCCAAUUCAGUUAGGGCGGUCUACAAACAUGCAUAGGUGUGUCAAAAUUUAAACACAAGUUAUAUUGAUUAAAGUCGCGAGUGCUUUGCAACGCAACACCACUUGGCACUUGGGGGCUAAUGUCUGCCAAAGCAAUUUUAUGCAAAAUGACUCUUCUAUGUUUCAAGUCCCAAGUGUUUUACAAAGUAACAACGCUUGGCACUUGGGGGCUAAUGCAUGAUAUUCAGAAAGUUUUUCAAGAUGAGCCGGAUCACACUACUUAUUUGGACUAAUCUAAGACAGUUAUGAAGUUAAGUACCGGGUCAUUUAUGAUAAAUUGAGCCGGCCCUUGGGGACUACAUGUGAAGUUUAUACUAAUCCGUUGAACUUAGGAAAAAUCUAAAGACAAGGUAUCAACCUAUAUCAUAAGUCUACAGAUCAUUCAGGUUCAUCAUAAUCUGAAGACUUGGGGGCUGGCAGAGUAUAUAUAAACCGGAGAACGUACCUCAUAUUCUGUAACAUCCCAAAUUUUCAAUUUGGAAUGUUACACGUUAGGUCAUCAUGCAUAUCAUAUUUUAUUUUUCUUUUGGUUUUGAUCCUAGAAAAUCCUAAGCAACUCAAGGACCCACGGAGAGAGUUGGGGAUUUCAUUAUUUACAUAUUUGAGUUUUCUCAAAUUAUGUAAACAGGAUCAUUUGAUUUUAUUUAUUCUAUCAUCAAUUAUUUCUAUUACAAAAAUAUGAGAGAGGGAAUAAAAUGACUUUUCCAAAAUAUAGAAAUAUUGAGGAUUUAAUAAAAAAUCAAAUAAGUUUUAUUUCGGAGUUUUUUGGUAUUUUUAUUUGAAUUUAGGAAAAAUGCGCGUUUUUCAAAUUGUAGUUUGGGCCCAGAUAAAUGUUCACUUUAUCGGGCUUGAUUUUAGGAACCCGGCAAAAUUUAUUUCGUGAUUUUUGGAGUCCGUUUAGUAUUUCUUUUUAUUUUUCUUCCGAGCGGAUUUAAAAAAAAACUAGAACCGACUCCGUGCCGUAACCGGCCAGGAAACCUCCGCCCGGGGCCUUUAUAUAGCGCCCGAACCGGCCGAGAGAGAGAGAGAGGCCCGAAGCCAGCUAACCCUAACCCUAGCUAAGCCGCCGCCGCCUCCCAGCCGUCGCCGCCCGCCGCUGCCGACUCGCCGGAGCGCGCGCCUUUCGAGGUUCGCCGCCGCCUCGUUUUCCGUGAAGUUUUUUUUUAAAAAAAAAAUCUGUUCGUCGUUUUUCUUUUUCGUCGGAUUUUCCGCGGUUAUUUUCUGAUCGCGAUUUCUGAUCCGGUUUUCGUUUUAGUAUAACUUUUCGCUCGUUUAUCGGAAUCAGGCGAUUCAAGCGCCUGGAGUUUCGUCUCGAAACCCUCUUUCCGAAUAAUCAACUUAAACAAGUUUUUGCUACUGUAAAAUUUGCCCUAGAUCCAGAUUACUAGAAGGAAGUUGUUUUUUUUGCCGUUUGAUUUCUUUCGCUUCGUUCGAUUUGAUUCUUUUGCCAACCAGGGUUCUUAAGUUGAACUUUCUGGUUAGAUCUUCUAUUUGAGUUUUACUUGUGCAUUAGAUGAGUACUUAUUGUAUGCUUGAUGUUUGUCUGUGAUAGAAUACCCGGAGUGCGCCGCCUGUUACUUCGAAUCUCUAGGUUUCGCGGAUCAUCAGCAAGGCAAGUAACACUUUGAUCAUACCUUUUCUACAACCCAGUUUUAUUGCAUUAGAUCAAUCCUCACACAUUGCAUGAUUAGGAUCUAAUUAAAUUGUGGGAUGGGAAGUAGAUGAGGUAGUACCUAUUACCUGUUUAUUAUCAAACCUUUGGGAGUUACUUCUACGUUUGCUUAUGCCAUGUUAUGCCGGUAGACGUGGAUUGGGUGAGUGAUAUCCAUGACAGAUGUGAGAUUUAUAAUUAAGGGUUAUCUAAGGUGGCAACCUAACACACAUCUGGGUGGAUUGAGGCACCUGGGGUUACCAGGACUUGCCUGUUUUCUUUUGGACCGCCACCCAGGCCCAAAGGGAUCAUGAGAUUUUUCAUACUAGAAACUUCCGUGUGCAGCCACAAGCCAUUAUGGGCUCUGGCAUAGUUGACUAAGUUGUGCGAACUCUUACAGUGGUAGACUAGCAGAUGUAGGGGAAAGUAGGUGUACCGGUCUACCCGUCGUAAGGUGCUAGCGCUUCUGAAAGACUGUGUCUCGGUCAUCCGUUUCUCAAACACCUUGUAGUGCGAGAAACCAAACGGAGGUGAUCGAGUCUUGUGGGGAAAAGUGCGCAAACCUCUGCAGAGUGUAACAAACUAAUCAUGGUUAGCCGUGUCCCUGAUUAUGGACAUCUUGAGUAUCUAUUACCUGGAUUAUCAUGUGAAUCUCAACAUGUUACUCUAAAAUUAAUUUUGUGGGAUUUUAAUGAUGUUACUUAAUUGGGAUUGAGGAUGCUGUCAACCAUUCUCAAUGUUUAACAACCACCAUGAUAGUAAUUAAUUUUAUUCCUUUGAAGUAGGGAAAAAUUGGCUUUACGCAAAAACUGUAACCAUAGAGCUUUCCACCAGCCAAAUAUGCAUAUAGUAUAGUUGUUGCAUUCCAUUACUCUCUAUGUGUUACCUUGCCAGCAUAUUCCAUGUGCUGACCCGUUUCGGGCUGCAACGUUAAUGUUGCAGACUUUUCAGAUGACGAUUGAGGAAUUUUAGGUCGUGGUUCUAUACUCAGUGAUGCCGUUGGAGUUGAUGGACUCACUUAUCUUCCAAGCCUUCCGCUGUUAUCGUUAUUAGAUGGCCUUAAGCCAUAUUUAUUGUAAUAAGUUCUCUUUUGAGACACUCGAUGUAAUAAGUGUGUGAUUGCUACUCUGCUAUAAAUCCUCCGAGUACUGUGUGGUGUCAGCAUUACUGAUCCAAGGAUGACAUCGGAGCACAGAGAUCAGACUGUUUAAGGUCUGGUCGCUACAUAUUCCAGUUGCAAUUGCUUGACCAUCUCAAUUUCCGAGUCACGGCUGGAAUGCACAGGACUGAGAUAGCCGGACAGCAUGUCACUAACAUUCAGAUGAGCAUAGUGAGAGAUAUCAAAUUGUACUUUCUGUCUUUCCAAGGCCUCCUGUUUAGCAGAAUGCCUGGCCAGCACAGUCGGAUUACCCGGCGCAACAAAUCUGCUGCCAGUGAUCAAAACGUCAUGGUCAGAAGAUGCUGGCAGGUUAGCUGAACCGGACGGUCUGACGGUGGAUGGAUCGACAAUGGUUUCGUCAGCUGACGGCUCAGGAGGGUCCAAUUGAGCAUGGACAGCUAAAUCUUCUGGCGCUUCAGAUUGAGUGGGAGGAGUUGAUGUUGCCAGUUCAGGUGCAGGAUUUUUUGGGUCCUCUGCCGGUUUAAUCACCUUGGCUUUCUUGGACUUUGCUUGACCGCUAAGAAAGAUUUUUAUGAAAUAGUUAGUAUAAUGAUGCAGUUUUAAAAAUGUAGAGGAAAGAUGAUUUUCCUUACCCAUGGGCAGUCUUGAAAGCCGGAAAUUGAGUUUGGGAUGAGUCGCCAGAAGAGCGAGAGACCUCCUGCAAAGGUAAAAUAAAGUUAAGAAUAUAAGGAAAUAAAUUCAUGGAUAAAAACAAAGGACAAAGGUGAAAGAAACCUCAUUCUGGCGUUUUUGAGGAGUUUUUUCUAAGUCGAAAGGUGGUUCAUCAUCAUCAUUAGUCCGGGCCAGAUGGCGGCUCUCAUGUUGCUGCUUUUUCAAAAGAAAAUGAGGGUCCAAAUAAGCCAAAGGGUGCAAAAACCUUACUUUCCGGGUUACCAGUCGAAGUUUCUGUCUCGGCAAAGGGGCUGAGUCGUAGGAAAUAGUUACCUCUUCUUCCGCGGCCUGGCUGGCCCCCGUGUCAUCCUGGCAAUAGUCAGUGUCAAUAAGAUAGUUGAAAAUUUGGCCAAGGGAGAAAGGGCUACCUCCGACUCAGAAACAUCAUCAAGCUGGAAGAUGUCAGAUGCAGUCUUCUUCUUGGGCUUCCGGGUCGUUCUCUUGGCGGCUACGGCAGCGGAUCUAGCCUUCUUGGUAGCUUCAUGAUCAUACUUGGCCUUCCAGAAGUCAGAUUUGUCCUGUAAACAAAUAAAGAGGUUAAAAGGUCAUGCAAGUAUUUAAACUACUGAGGUAAACACAAAAAGAGAAAAAGGUCAAGAAGUUACCUCUGGUGUCGGGUUAAGUUUGCAGAAGGGGUUUAAUCCAACCUUGCUGUAGUCCUCGUAUUUGCCAUUCACGAGGAUGGUAGACAUUGCAACAAUGUCUUCUUCAGUUAAUUGUACAGAGCUAUAACGCAGAGAAUCAUUUGGGCCUCCGCCAUACUUAUACAUCAACUUGGAUCGGCGGCUUAGAGGGAUGACCCGCCAUGAGAUCCAGCAAUGGAUCAGGUCAACUCCGGUUAAGCCAUUUCCCAAUAAAGCUUGAAUCCUUUUGACAGAUGGGAUAAGCUUCUUGCGUUCAGCAGUAGUAAGCUUGUCAGGGAGCACAAACUUGGAAUCAAGACGCUCUUCACGAUAACCCGGCAGUGGUUUUUCAUCAGCCGGUGAUGUAUCUUGGCAGUAGAACCAGGUUUGCUUCCAGUCUUUGGGAUGGCUCGGUAAGACCACUAAAGGAAAAACGGCACCUUGUCAGCGUUGAAUUGAAAUUCUGCCAAGUUCCAAGCUAAGGCCGUUGGUGCACUCAUUCUGGCGGUUCAAGUAAAAGUACUCUCUAAAGAGCUCCACAGUUGGUUCUUCUUGAAGAUAUACCUCACAAAGAACUUGAAAAUUGCAGAUGUUGGAUAUAGGGUUGGGUCCAAUAUCUUGUGGAUGAAGCUUGAAAAAAUGCAGGACAUCUUGGACGAACUUUGAGCCGGGUGGUGAGAAGCCCCGGUUCAUGUGAUCUGUGAAAACGAUAACUUCGCCGUCUUUGGACUAAGGUCGUUCUUCGUCCGGGUCAGGAGCACGAUAAGACAUAACGCUUUUCUCUGGCAAAAAUCCAAUGGUGACAAAUUAUUUCAAGGUAUCUUCAGUAACUGUGGAAGGCACCCGGUUGCAGACAGUUGGCGCUUUUGACGGCAUGAUGAAGAAAGGGCAAGCUGAAAAGAAAGUAAUUUGCCGGUUCAAUUUAUUGGUGGAGUUACAGGUUCAUGAUUAUAGUACAGAUGAGUAAUGGCGGCUUAAGUAAGGGCUAAUGACAUGUAAAGGAAAAAUAAGCCGGAGUCAUAAGCCGCCAUGACUAAAAAGUAUUUGAAGGUUGCCAGAAUCAAAAUUGACUAAAGUGUUGAGACAAACAGGUUUCCCAAGUUGUGGCUAUUAUUAUGGAUCAAAAUGGUUCAGAAAAUAAAAAUAAAGUUAGACCUAGAAAACGAGCACAGAGGAGUUUGUCAGCUCUAAAGAGGCAUUUAUACAGGAGAAGGGGAUCUGUUAGCUUCAAAAAUGGAUGAGAAAUAGCUACCUCAUAAGUUUUGUACUACUUUUAGAUCAAAAGAGGGUGCGGUAAGAGAAGUUGCAACGAAUCUAUGACGAACAACGAAGAACACAAGAAGGAAACCUCCCGAACCCUAAUGCAGAUCUAUGGGGGUGAGAAGGUGAGAGCUUACAGGUGCGGAGCUGCUGCGGAGGAUCGCCACCGUUCUCUGGAUAGACUCAGGGUGAUGCUGCGGCCAGAGUUGAGGACGACGGUGCGCUACGGUGGCGACGGAGCUCGAGCGGCAAAGAAGGUGCGAGAGGAAGAAGAAAGAGGAAGGACUGGCCGAGCCUAUUUAUAAGGGGGUAAGUGAACGGGCAGACGCAAAAAUUGAGGAAGACCAAAGUAAUGAUUAUCCAGCUAAAUGGACGCCUCGAUCUUCGGAAAACAUUUAAGAUAAGGAUCCGUUGAAGAUGAAAUCGUGGUGUUUUUCCAAAUUUUUUCAAUCCUAAUGGUUGGUUAAUAAAAUAAGCUCAGUGAAUAUACAAGGCGAUAGUUUAUUAUAAGACUUGUAGUAGGCCCAAGCCCAAAGGCGGUUUAAGGCCCAUAAUUGUAAACCGCCAUGUAUAAGAAAGACUUGUAAAGAAAGGCAUGUAAGAGAAGUCACCGAGCCGAACACGUUAUAUGAGCCGGCCGGGACUCUGUAGGCUGCCAGGCGUCAACCCAUGUAUAUAAGGGGAUGACCCGGUGGCUGCUUAGGACAAGUAACAUCAAAUCAAGAGCCAUGCAUAGCGUAUUUGCUCCCUGAUCAUCGAAACCUAGCAAUAUCACAUCAACUGGACUAGGCUUUACCUUCACCGUAAGGGGCCGAACCAGUAUAAACCUUUCGUGUCCUUUGUCCCGAUUAACCCCUUUAAGCUUCCUAGUUGCGAUGGCUCCACGGCUAAGUCCUUUCACUAGGACAUCAUCCGUGACAAUUCCACGACAACUCUGGUGCGGAUCUUACUAUGGUUGACCUACGAGGUUCAGCGGUAACUUGAUCUGAAGUUUCAUGAUCAUCAUCAUUAGCUUCCUCACUAAUUGGUGUAGGAAUCACUGGAACUAAUUUCUGUGAUGAACUACUUACCAAUUCGGGAGCAGGUACAAUUGCCUCAUCAAGUUCUACUUUCCUCCCACUCACUUCUUUCGAGAGAAAGUCCUUCUCUAGAAAGGAUCCUUUCUUAGCAACGAAUAUAUUGCCUUCGGAUCUGUGAUAGAAGGUGUACCCAACAGUCUCCUUUGGGUAUCCUAUGAAGACACAUUUCUAUGAUUUGGGUUCGAGCUUAUCAGGUUGAAGCUUUUUCACAUAAGCAUCACAGCCCCAAACUUUAAGAAACGACAACUUAGGUUUCUUGCCAAACCACAGUUCAUAUGGUAUCAUCUCAACGGAUUUAGAUGGUGCCCUAUUUAAAGUGAAUGCAGUCUGAAAGUGCGUUAUAUCGACUAGAGGGGGGGUGAAUAGGCGAUUUUUAUGAAAGUCUUCAAAACAUGGAAGUUUCGAAGACAAACGAUAGAAAUAAACCUAUUACCAUGCAGUGGAAGUUAGACUACACUAGAUAAACCGUAGUCAUGUAUUCAAUGAAGUGAAAGGACAAUGACUAAUAGUAGCUAGGUAGUAAGGAUCAGGCAGGAAGAUAUUAAGAAGCCAAACGGAUCACACAGUCACUCAGUGAAGACAAAAGAUAGAGAAAACAUACAAUGACUUCACACAGAGUAACAGUAAGUAAAGAGAAGGGAAGGAUGAAACCAGUGACUCGUUGAAGACAAAGAUUUGUUGGACCAGUUCCAGUUGCUGUGACAACUGUACGUCUGGUUAGGGCGGCUAGGUAUUUAAACCAAAGGACACACAGUCCCGGACACCCAGUCCUGAACACGCAGCUCAGGACAUCCAGUCCUCACCGUAUUCCCCUUGAGCUAAGGUCACACAGACCUCGCCCAAUCACUCUGGUAAGUCUUCAAGGUAGACUCCCAAACCUUCACAGACUUCGUUCACCGGCAAUCCACAAUGUCUCUUGGAUGCUCAGAACGCGAUGCCUAACCAGCUGGAGGAUGCACAGUCCUCAAGUGUAAUAAGUCUUCAGAUCACUCAGACAAGAAGACUUAAGUGAUGCCUAAUUCUCUUUCGCUCUGGGUGGUUAGGGCUUUAUCCUCGCAAGGAAUUCUCUCUCAAAGGCUUCGAGGUGGGUUGCUCUCAAACGACAAAAGCCGUACUUUGAAUCUGAGUAGCCAACCGUUUAUGGUUGUAGGGGGUGGGCUAUUUAUAGCCACUAGGCAACCCGACCUGAUUUGUCCGAAAUGACCCUGGGUCACUAAGGAACUAACAUGUGUUCCAACGGUCAAAUUUCAAACUCACACGGAAACUUUACUUGGGCUACAAGCAAAGCUGACUUGUCCGACUCUGGACAAGAUUUUCUCUCAUAGUCUUCACUCGAAGACAUAGGUUUUUGUUUAAGCAUCACUUUAGUCAUUCUGACUGGCUCUCUUGGACCCCACUUAACAGUAUGUUGGUUCCUAUGACUCAACACAGAAGAAAAAGAACUACGAAAAAUCUAAGUGUUCAAGCUCCAUAGGCUUCAUGCGGUGUCUUCUCUUGUCAUAGUCUUCAAUGUGAAUAUCUUCAUAUACCACCUUUGACAUCAAUGUCUUCAUACACUUUUAGGGGUCAUCUCUGGUGGGAAAACCGAAUCAAUGAGGUACUUCUACCUGUGUUAUCCUGCAAUUCUCACAAACACAUUAGUCCCUCAACUAGGUUUGUCGUCAAUACUCCAAAACCAACUAGGGGUGGCACUAGAUGCACUUACAAUCUCCCCCCUUUUGGUGAUUGAUGACAAACUAGUUGAAGUUUUCAACGGGGAAUAUAAUGUGUGAAAUUGUAAAGGAUAAGGAAUUGUCUUCAUAAGUUACAAGGGCUCCCCCUGAAGAUGUGCAUAUAAGUAAUUUGCUUUUGGAAUGCAAAUGCACAUGGCAGGUUGUGCUUGUGGAGAUCCACUUCAACUUAUGAUGACAAUCCACUAUGCAUGUGAAAGUAUGUGAAGAUAAUGACAUGCAUAAUGGAAAAUGGAUGUCUGCAGAAUGAUCUAAGUGCGGAAUCUAUCAUCGCACAUGCGGAAUUUAUCAUCACAACACAAGGUAGCAAAUAGGUAGCAGACGACCAUCAAGUUUAAGUGUUACAACUCAAAGAACCAAAUGUUUCAAAACGAGAGUUGUAAGCACGAAGCAAAAUAUAAAACACCCGCCCAUAUGGACCCAUUUGAAGACUAUCAAACUCAUAUGCUUCUCCCCCUUUUGACAGUAAGGACCAAAAAGGUUUGAAGACAUAGAGCCUCUACUCGUUCCCAUGAGGAGUAGGUGAAGCAGCAGGAUCGUUGAUGGUGUUUGGCAGUGCAGACGAGCUUGGAGCAGUGUCGACGUGUGCUGAAGGAGGCGGCGAAGAAGUAGCAUCGUCUUCAUCCUCGAUCACUCUGGCAUUCACGGUUGCAGUAGAGGAAGAGAACUCAGGGUCUUCAAGUGAUGGAGUUCGUCGCAGCACAGCCCUGCGAGGAGGUGUGGAGUCAAACUUGAAGCGCUCAGUGAAGCCAUCCUCUUGCAGAUCAUCUUCAGAACACAGCAGCGUCAGCCCUUUCCAUGUGCGUCGAGAUGUUUCAUGAGCAACAAAGGCGUUCUUGGUGGCAAGAUUGUGAAUGCGAUUAACAUCCACCAAGAGGCUUUGCAUUUGACGCUUUAGCCAGUCAUGAUGCCUAUCCUGUUUCUGAUGAAGGGCCACCAGAAGCUCUCGGUCAUUGAGGACACGAGUGCGCUUCUUGGGUCGUUGAGCAAUGGUGCUAUCAGUGGCUUCAGUAAGAGCAGGAUGCGGGGCACGGGUAGUGCCAGCCAAAGGAUACACACGUGUUACUGCUUCAAUGCCUUCAACGUUCCGAGAGAAACUUUGAUGCUCUGCAUUCUGAAGACUUAGAGGUUCCUUGGCAGGCUCAGGAUAUAUGGCUUCAAUAGACAUAUCCACAUCAGGCAAAAAGAUCCGAUGAUUGCGGGCAGAUGGCUGAUAUGAGAUAGCAGAGUGAAGUUUGAUCAGCCGCAUCACCCAAGGGGCGUAGAACUUCAACCCAAAUAGAUCAGAGCCAGAUGCAGCAAGUUGGCGAAUGAAGAAAUCCUAUGUAUUGAAGCAUUUUCCAUGAAGAAUAUAGAAGACCAAAGUCUUCAUUGCACCUUCCAGCUGGGCAUGGGGAGAAUGUCCUUUGAUUGGCCAGAGAGUUCGCCUUAUGAUAUGAUAAAUGGUCCUUGGCAGAUACUCAAGGUCUUCAACAAAGAACUCCGUGGGAUAAGCAGCAUCUUGGGGCAAUGGCUUCAUCAUACUGAGCAUCUGACUCAUAUUGGGUUCAGUCUUCUGAAAGAUGCUCUCAACAGCUUCAAUGUGAAGCUGACAGCCAUGCUCAUAGAGAUCGCCAGGAGUGGGCAAGCCAGUGAGCUCAAUGAUGUCAAAGACUUUGGCUUCGUGAUGAACAUUUCCAGUCAUCCACUCUAGGACCCAAGUCUUUGGAUCUCUGUUAUACCCGCGGAUGUGAAGUGUGGCAUAGAACUGGAGCAGCAACUCUUCAUUCCAAUGCUCUUGGUCAGUGACGAAUGGUAGCAGCCCAACUUCAUUGAAGCAAUCCAAAGCUUCUUCCAGACAGGCAGACCAGCUAUAGCUUCAAUGUCAAGGCGCUUGUGUGGGAAGAUGCGACCUUUGUUGUAAAGAAUGCAUGAGUAAUAGCUUCGCUGCUGAUAGCUCCAGAACCGAUCAGAUGAUAUUCUUUCCCUGGAGUAGGGGUUCCUGGAGCUAUUGAAGAAUGUGUUGUCUGCUCUGAAGCCAUUGAUGUUAAAGGAGCCAGGUGCUAAUGCAGGACCUGGGAACCUGGGCAAUCUUGGGAUUGGCUUCUGGACCUGAGGCCUGUGCUCAACAUGAUAGUCGAAUUGGGGACCGGCAGCAGACGCAGGAACAGGAGCAGCAGGAUUAGUGGCUUCGCUGACUUCUGGUGCUGUUGGGGGUGAGGGCUCCACAUUAGCUUCAGCCAUGACGGUGUCAGUGGCUUCAGUGGUGUUGGUGGUGGCAGCCUCUAGAUUUUCAACCUCCACUUGACGAGCUGGAGGGUCGGUCAUGAUCACGUUCUCCUCGAGAACCGCUUCUUGGUGGGGCAGGGGAGUAGCAGCUUGUGGAACUUCUUCUUCCGUGGCUGAUGCAGCUAGAUUGUCUUCAGCAGAGACUUGAGGCCUUGGACCUUUGUGAAGCCUGCGCAACGCGGGCGAUGCCUGUGGAGCUGGAGUGGGCUGGGCCUCAUAGUCUUCUUCCUCUUGUUGGCGAUCCGCCCAUGAAGCAUCCUGUGCCAUUGGCGUCAGUGGACGACCAAUGCUGAUGAGUUCGUUGUUUUCAAGCUGAGGAAGAACUGCACCAUCUUCUACAUGGUCAUGUUGACCAAUGUCUUCAGCAGUGAUGGGAUCAGCUGUUGGAAAGUCUUUAGCUUUAUGAGCCUCUGUGGAAGCAGGCUCAUGGAUUGUCAGUUGGCGUUCAGCUUCAGGAUAGACCAUUGAAAUAGGUUCAACUAUCAAAGGCUCUGUGGGAGCAGCCUGUUCCUUCUUGGUCUUUCGUUUCUUCUUGGAGGGGGCAGUAGGAGAGGCUUCAGGAUGUUUCCUCUUCCUGGCUUCAGCCUCAGCAGUCCUUGUCUUCUUGAGCUCUGAAGCGGUUGACCGGCUUUUUGGCUUCAAGCCAGUCAGUCUAGUUGGGAAGACAAUCGGAACUGCUUCCUGCCUUGGUGCGUCGGAUUCAGCCGUAGCAGUCUUCUUCUUCUUCUUUGCGGCCAUCCUAGGGUCAAUGCCAGGACGCCCAAGGGCCUUGCGCUUCUCAGCCUCAUUGUAGGCUUGCACACAUCUGUCAGCCAGAGCCUUCAUGCGCUCACGUGAAUCCCGAGCUUCUGCACAUUUCUUCAGAAAGGCUUCCUUGAGCUCGUGCAUCAUGAUCUUGAAGUUCUUCACUUCUUGCACACUGAGCUUGGCCAUAUGCUUCUUGAACUGAGCCUUUUCAUAGUCAAUCUUCUGCUUUAGUUCAACAACGUGUCGGGCGAUGGCUAGCUCUGAAGCAAUGGCGCCUUGGAAGGCGACACUGAGGCCAAUGGGUAGCUGCAGAUCAUCAAAGCUGAUGUUUGGCAUAUCAAACCACUCGUCAAUGAAGUUGUGGAUGAUGGUUACAUCAAAGAGAGGCAGAUCAUUGAAGAUUUCGGCUUCUUCUUUGCUCUUGAUGAGUUGCUCAAGAGCGUCAUCUGCAAGAUCUUCAUCACUUGACAGAUCAAUGUCAUCAUUGCGCAGAAUGGCAGCAGCUGUUAGCUCUUGGCCGGUGUGUGGCAGAGGCAUCUUGGCCUUCUAGGGCUUGGAGAUGCGUGAUAAAUCUUCGGACUGCACACUGUCUUCAGGAGAUGCAGUUGCCAGUGGCUUCGCCCUUGAGAUUUUUGGUGAAGGGGCAGGCUUUGAAGCUUUGGGCUUCUUCAACUUCUUUGGUGUUGGCGCUGCAGGCGCUUCAUCUGAUUCAGCGUUAGCUGCAGGCUCAUUCACGGUUGUCCCUUGAACCAAGAUAUGGGUGAUGAGUCCUGCAAGGUUGUAGAAAGGACCGACGACAUUGGGUUCCGCAUCGCGUGUGCCGUCAGCCCUUGGAGCAGAAGGACCAGGGUUGAAGUCUAAUCCAAAAGACUUCUUGUUCUGCUUUGCUGAGUUCUUGGCAAACUGGAAGUUGCGCUUGAAUAGAUUGUCGUCACGGCACCAUAGUAGUGACGAUGGGUGUGCAUCUGCAGGCUGUGGCCCACGCACCAUGCAGGGAUAGAAGCCUUGUUCAAUGGCUUCUUCUCUGGACCUGGGUUGAAGAUUCUUGUAUAGGAUGUCUCCCCAUGGUCUCUUGAUGGCAUUUCUCUCAGCAUAUUCCUGGGUCACAAACCGGUAUUUGAACCAUUGUUCUGCCCAAUAUCUUCGAAUCCAUUGGAUUCGGGUCUUGCGCUGAUUAUAAUCCUGUUCAGGAUCUGUCUUGUAAAGCUCUGAGAGGUCAUCAGGAAAAUCUCUUGAUGUCCCCCCACGACGCUGUCUGCCACCCUUCCUUACUGAUUUCUCUGCAGCCAUGAACUUCAAACUGAAAGGCUUCAAAACGUUCAAAGGCUUCAAAGGUUUUCGCUUGCUGGACAAACAGGAACUGGCUUCGGGAGAAUUUAUAUGAUGCUGUAAGAAUUCUGCAAAUGAAUGCAGACUAUGAGAACCAAGGGAUUCUCCCAUGGACAUGUACCUGUGACAACAUUAAGGUGCAAGGGAAGGGGAAGAGGUCAUAUGCAUUCUCAGGAGAUUUUGAAGAUAAAUCAGUUUAGAAGACAUUGACCUCAUCGUGCGAAGACAUUCACUCAUAGAUAAGGAGUUGGUUCCAGAUUUGUACGAAUCCAGUGAUCAGUACAAGUGAGGAAUCUAACUACUUGUGAAGCAUAAGUGAAUAUACUAGGCAUGUUAUGAGAUGCAGUAGGAAAGAGAUCCAACUUGUGUGAAUAGAAACUUCUUAUGGUAGAAAGUGACAAAGCCAUAGGAUCAAAAGGGGCCGUAAAAAGAAGUUUUAUUUACCACACUUGGAACUGCUAGAUGGAGUGGAAGAGGAGGCCGAGCAGUUCGAUCUUCUGUGCCCUAACUUGGCGACGAAGGACACCUACGGCGACGGCGGAGAGGACGAUGUCCGCGGUCGGUGUGAAGACGGCGUCGGAGAGGUUGCGGCAGUGAAGCGCUUCGUCGCCGGCGUCGUCGAGGGCUAGCAGUGGCACUAGGGUUCGUGCGAGGGUGGAAGAAGAGAUGAUGACCGCUGUGAAGGGUGUAUUUAUAGGUACAGGGGCGGCACUGCGUUAUUACACAGGUGCCCCUGGCGAUUCACAUCUGAGGAACACGUGGCCAUCAUGCAGUAUAUUGGGGUUUGUUCCACGUCUCACGCACGCCUAGAUUGUCGGGUGGUCGUUCCUACUUCUCCGGGUUUCAUGUGGAGGAAUGGGCAUUGAAAACGGACUUAAUGUUUGUCUCUGUAUGUUCUGCUGACAAGGACGCAGAGAAGACAUUCGACAGUUUCAAUAGAAUGCAUAUGAUUUGGAGAGAUAGAGUUUGAGAUAGAGAGCACAGAGAGGUUAGGGUCCGAUCACAUUCACUUAGAUCAAAAGAUUCAACAAGAAGACAUAGCUAUAAGUGAAUACUGUAGAGGACAGAACACUAGUAUAUAUAUAUAUAUAUAAUCAACAUAGUGAAGAUAAUCAUGAAAACAUGUUGAGAUUGAAACCAAACCAAAUGUGAAGUCAUAGCAAGGUAAUGCCAUGAGUGAAACACUUCAAAUAGAACAUUUGGUGGUGGCGUUACCCACCGUAUAGGAAGUAUUAGACCCAGACACGGCGCACAAUUAUCGUGGCGCUCCGAAGUCAAAUUCCACAUUAAUGUAUUCACACUUAGAAUGUAUGUCUUCAUUGAUUGAAGAUAUACUUUACUUCGUGUGUUGCACAUCUAAGUCAUCAAUAUGCAUAAGGGUUAGGAUGUGUGCCUGAUCACAGGACAUUUGAGGAUUCCAGGAUAUUUAGCUCACAUCGUAACUUGCAAAAUCUCUUCUCAUCCAAGGGCUUGGUGAAGAUAUCUGCCAAUUGCUCUUCAGUGUUGACGUGUAUGAUAUCAAUAUCUUCCUUCACAACAUGAUCUCUGAGAAAGUGAUGACGAAUUUCAAUGUGCUUUGUCUUCGAGUGCUGAACAGGGUUGUUGGCAAUCUUGAUGGCGCUUUCGUUGUCACAGUAGAGUGGCACUUGCUUCAGAUGAAUGCCAUAGUCCUUGAGGGUUUGCUUCAUCCACAGAAGCUGAGCGCAGCAAGAUCCAGCAGCAAUGUAUUCAGAUUCAGCAGUGGAGAGAGAUACACAGUUCUGCUUCUUUGAAGACCAACAUACAGGUGAUCGUCCCAGAAAAUGACAUGUGCCUGAUGUAGACUUGCGAUCCACCUUGUCACCAGCAUAAUCAGCAUCCGAGAAUCCAACCAGAUCAAACUCUGAGCCCUUUGGAUACCAUAAUCCUAGAGUUGGGGUGUGAGCCAAAUAUCGAAGAAUUCGCUUCACAGCUAGGUGAUGCGACUCCUUUGGUGCCGCUUGAAAUCGAGCACACAUGCAAACACUAAGCAUAAUAUCUGGCCUAGAUGCACAUAGAUAAAGCAAAGAACCAAUCAUGGAGCGGUAUACCUUUUGAUCGAACUCUUUACCAUUGUCGUCAGGACCCAGAUGAUGCUUGGCUGGUAUUGGCGUCGUGAACCCUUUGCAGUCUUGCAUACCGAACUUCUUAAGGCAAUCCUUGAGAUGCUUCUCUUGAGAUAUGAAGAUGCCGUUGCGUUGCUGUCGUAUUUGAAUACCGAGGAAAAACUUCAGCUCUCCAUCAUGGACAUCUGAUAUUGCUCUUGCAUCAUAUAUCCAAACUCUUCACUGUACUUCUGAUUGGUGCAGCCGAAGAUAAUGUCAUCCACAUAUAUUUGGCACACAAACAGUUAACCAUCAUAUGUCUUCGUGAAGAGAGUGGGGUCGAGGGAACCAGGUAUGAAGCCUUUGCUCUUCAGGAAGUAUUUGAGUGUGUCAUACCAGGCCCGAGGGGCUUGUUUGAGGCCAUAUAGUGCCUUGUUGAGCUUGUAUACCGUAUCAGGAUGUUUUAGAUCUUCAGAGCCAGGUGGUUGUGCAACAUACACUUCUUCUUCAAUCUUUCCAUUGAGAAAGGCGCUCUUCACAUCCAUUUGAUAAAGAAGUAUGUUGUGAUGAUUUGCAUAGGCCAGCAGUAUGCGUAUGGCUUCAAGUCUAGCCACAGGAGCAAAUGUUUCAUUGAAGUCAAUGCCUUCCACUUGAGUAUAUCCUUGAGCAACUAGACGAGCUUUGUUUCUGACAACUUGACCAUGCUCAUCUUGCUUGUUGCGGUAUAUCCAUUUUGUGCCUAUUAUGUUGUGCUUCCGAGGAUCAGGACGCUUAACCAGUUCCCAUACAUUAUUCAGCUCAAACCGUUGAAGCUCUUCUUGCAUAGCUUGAAUCCAUUCAGGUUCCAUGAAGGCUUCUUCCACUUUCUUGGGUUCUGUUAUUGAGACGAAUGCGAAGUGCCCACAGAAAUUUGCCAGCUGGGUUGCCCUUGAUCGACUGAGCGGACCAGGUGCAUUGAUGCUGUCAAUUAUUCUCUCAAUUUGCACUUCAUUGGCAACACGAGGAUGUACAGGGCGAAGACUUUGCUCUUGCUGAUCAUUGUCGUUGUUGGAGGGAUUGUCUUCAGGUUGAGCAUUGUCUUCAGGUUGAUCUGGUGCAGAGAUGAUGAGUUCCUCUUCAGGAUGAGCUUUAGAAGGUAUGAUUUCUCCAGUUCCCAUUAGCUUGAUUGAUUCACUGGAUGGAACUUCAUCUAGCACAUUUGGCAGGUGCUCUCUUUGUGAACCGUUAGUCUCAUCGAACCGCACAUCCACGGUUUCAACCACUUUAUAAUGAAAGAGGUUGAAGACUCUGUAGGAGUGCGAAUCCUUUCCAUAUCCAAGCAUAAAACCCUCAUGUGCUUUUGGGGCAAACUUUGAAGUGUGAUGUGGGUCCUUGAUCCAGCACCUUGCGCCAAAUACUCUGAAGUAACUGGCAUUUGGCUUCUUGCCAGUGAGGAGCUCAUACGAUGUCUUGUUCAGAAGCUUGUGAAGAUAAACACGAUUGAUUGUAUGGCAUGCAGUAUCAAUGGCUUCAGGCCAGAAUUUUCUUGGAGUCUUGUAUUCAUCUAGCAUUGUUCUGGCCAUCUCAAUGAGUGUUCUGUUCUUGCAUUCGACGACGCCAUUCUGCUGUGGCGUGUACGGGGCUGAGAAUUCAUGUGUGAUGCCCAAGGUAUCAAGAUAUGUAUCAAGGCCAGUGUUCUUGAAUUCAGUGCCAUUGUCACUUUUGAUGUGCUUUAUCUUGGCACCAUAGUUGUUCAUUGCUCGAUUGGCGAAGCGUUUGAAGACAUCCUGCACUUCAGUCUUGUAAAGGAUUAUAUGCACCCAAGUGUAUCUAGAAUAAUCAUCAAUAAUGAAGAAGCCAUAGAGACAAGCAGUAGUAGUAAGAGUUGAGUAAUGAGUGGGACCGAAAAGAUCCAUGUGAAGCAGCUCGAAGGGUCGAGUAGUAGUCAUGAUUGUCUUCGAGGGAUGCUUGGCCCUCGUCAUCUUUCCUGCUUCACAGGCACCGCAUAAGUGAUCUUUCUUGAACUUGACGCCCUCAAUGCCUAUGACAUGCUUCUUCUUUGCCAGGGUGUGGAGGUUCCUCAUGCCAGCAUGCCCAAGCCUCCGAUGCCAGAGCCAGCAUUCUGAAGCUUUUGCUAGAAGACAUACGGCAAGUUGUGGUCCUGCUGAGAAAUCUACCACGUACAGAUCGUCUUUCCGAUACCCUUCAAACACUAGAGACUUGUCAGAUUCCAUUAGAACAAGGCAACAAUAUUUUCCAAAUAUUACGAUCAUGUUCAAAUCGCAUAGCAUUGAGACAGACAUUAAGUUGAAGCCAAGGGAUUCAACAAGCAUGACUUUAUCCAUGUGUUGAUCCUUUGAGAUUGCAACUCUACCUAGACCCAAUACCUUACUUUUACCAGUGUCAGCAAAUGUGAUGUGGCUCUUGUCGGAAGGACGUAAGGUUGAGUCCAUCAGAAGGCUUCUUUUGCCAGUCAUGUGAUUUGUACACCCACUAUCAGUAAUCCAUUCUGUAUACGCUGGUGUCGUACCCUACAGUGCAGUUAGGGGGAUAGGCUUCACGAAGAGAGUUGUGAAGCAAAAACAUUUGACGAACCAGUGGGUUAUGAAAGCUUAGAUCCAGAUUAGUACUGAUAGGGAGAGUAGCAAGCGAUUCAGGAACGAAGUACAUAGUAAGACCAUUCGGCAUUUGAUCUUGCGCCCUACAAGAUGUUUAAGGUCCCCAGCGAUAGCGUCAGAAGAUUUUGGUUUUCUGCUGGAGACCUUUCCCUGCAAAAGAGAGUUAAGCCUUCUUAACAACCCACAUCUUCAAGGGUGGCUUAGAAGCGAUAAGUCUAAGUGCAGAGUCUGAAAACUUUGGCUUUGGGGCUCUAGCAAAAAGUCUUGCAGGUGGACAAUAAUACUCAUAAGAAUAAGCAGAAUAGUUUUUGGUCUUAUGAACAUGGCGGUUCGAUGAACCGCGCUCAUAUUCAUAGGCCUGAGUAUGGUUUCCCUGCAAAACAUUUGCAUUAGUCCGACUCAGGUGAGUCCUCUGUCUGUAUGAAGCCUUUGGGCCAUAUGAAGCCUGUGGUCUGGGGUUUGUCUUCUUCAUCUAUGGUGUCAUGAUGACAUUCACAGGAAGAUUUUCCAAACACCUUUUGGGCACCCAGACCUUCUUCAUAGGCGGUCCAUUCCUGCAGUUAGUACCAAUGUACCUGGCAAAAACUUCACCAUUCUGAUUCUUAAAUAGUUUAUAGUUUGCAUCAAAGGAUUCAUCAAUGACAAUGGGGUUAGCACAAGUGAAGCCAGAUAGACUGGAUGGAUUUGCUGAAGGUUCCUUUGCAGCAACCCAUGUGGUUUUGGGAUACUGCUCGGGUUUCUAGUAAGAGCCAUCAGCAUUCAUUUUCCUUAUGAACCCAACACCCUCUUUCCUCGGGUUUCGGUUCAGAAUCUGCCUUUUGAGGACAUCACAUAGUGUCUGAUGCCCUUUAAGACUUUUGUACAUCCCUGUUUCAAGCAAUGUCUUCAACCUAGCAUUCUCAUCAGCAAUCGCAGUAGUAUCCUCAGUAGAGGGGUUAGUUACCACAUCAACAGUUGAAGAUAUUGCAACAGUAGCAGUAGUAGAACAUUCAGCAACAGAAGCAGCAUUAUCACGCUCAAUGCAUUUAAGACAUGGUGGUUCAAAUCCUUCCUGAGCGGAACUGAUCUGUUCGGCGCGAAGUGACUCGUUUUCCUUUUGAAGAUCUUCAUGAGCCGCUCUCAAUUUCUCAAGAUCUUGCUUCCUUUGAAGAUAAUCAUAGGAAAGCUUUUCAUGAGUUGUUGAGAGCGUUUCAUGACAACUUUCAAGUUCCUCAUAUUUAACGUGAAGAUUUUUUAUGUCUUGAAUUAAGGAUUCAGAUCGAGUCAUUUCAACGCCCAACAAAUCAUCGCUUUUGUCUAACAGUUUUUGAAUAUGUUCCAUGGCUUUCUGUUGUUCAGUUGCAAUUUUAGCAAGUGUUUUGUAGCUGGGUCUUGAAUCACAAUCAGAGUCAUCAUCACUAGAUGUUUGAUAGUGAGUAGUGCGUGUGUUUACCUUGGCACCGUGUGCCAUGAAGCAGUAGGUAGGAGCAGAGUCGUCCUUGUCAUUUGCAUCGGCGUCGGUGGUGAAGUCAUUGUCUUCAGUGUUGAAGAUGGACUUGGCAACGUAUGCUGUAGCCAGACUUGCAACACCAGAAUCGGACUCCUCCUCAGACUCCACCUCCGCCUCCUCAGACGCGGACUCCUCCUCUGAAUCCAUUUCCUUGCCAACAAACGCACGUGCCUUGCCAGAUGAGCUCUUCUUGUGUGAUGAAGACUUUGAGGAAGACUUGGAAGAAGACUUUGAGUAUUUCUUCUUCUUCUUGUCGUCAGAGUCAUAUUCCUUGCUCUUCUUCUUCUUUCUAUUCUCAUUGUCCCACUGCGGACACUCAGAGAUGAAGUGGCUAGUUUUCUUGCACUUGUGACAUGUUUUCUUCUUGUAGUCAUGAGCAGAAGCUUCAUCAUUCCUUGAGCUUGAUCGUGAAGACUUUCUGAAGCCUUUCUUCUUGGGGAAUCUUUGGAACUUCUUUACAAGCAUAGCAAGUUCCUUUCCAAUGUCUUCAGGAUCGUCAGAACUGCUGUCAGAUUCUUCUUCAGAUGAGGAGACAACUUUUGCCUUCAGGGCACGAGUUCGCCCAUAGUUUGGACCGUAGAUAUCUCUUUUCUCAGAAAGCUGAAACUCAUGUGUGUUGAGCCUCUCAAGUAUGUCGGACGGAUCGAGUAUCUUGAAAUCAGGUCGUUCUUGAAUCAUCAGGGCUAGGGUGUCAAACAAACUGUCAAGUGAUCUCAGUAGUGUCUUGACGACUUCAUGCUUGGUGAUCUCAGUGGCGCCGAGCGCUUGAAGCUCAUUUGUGAUGUCAGUGAGUCGGUCAAAUGUGAGCUGGACAUUCUCAUUGUCAUUUCGCUUGAAGCGGUUAAAGAGGUUGCGAAGAACGCUGAUUCUCUGAUCUCUCUGGGUUGAGACGCCUUCGUUGACCUUGGAGAGCUAGUCCCAGACCAGCUUCGAUGUUUCCAAAGUGCUCACACGGCCAUACUGUCCUUUGGUCAGAUGACCACAGAUAAUGUUCUUGGCAGUAGAGUCCAGUUGAACGAACUUCUUGACAUCAGCAACAGUGACACCUUCUCCAGCCUUGGGAACGCCGUUCUUGACGACAUACCAUAGGUCGACGUCAAUGGCUUCAAGAUGCAUGCGCAUCUUAUUCUUCCAGUAGGGAUAUUCAGUUCCAUCGAAGACGGGGCACGCAACGGAGACUUUAAUUAUCCCUGCAGUCGACAUAGCUAAAACUCCAGGUGGUUAAACCGAAUCACACAGAACAAGGGAGCACCUUGCUCUCAUACCAAUUGAAAGUGCAUUAUAUCGACUAGAGGGGGUGACUAGGCGAUUUUUAUGAAAGUCUUAAAAACAUGGAAGUUUCGAAGACAAAUGAUAGAAAUAAACCUAUUACCAUGCAGCGGAAGUUAGACUACACUAGAUAAACCAUAGUCAUGUAUUCAAUGAAGUGAAAGGACAAUGACUAAUAGUAGCUAGGUAGUAAGGAUCAGGCAGGAAGAUAUUAAGAAGCCAAACGGAUCACACAGUCACUCAGUGAAGACAAAAGAUAGAGCAAACAUACAAUGACUUCACACAGAGUAACAGUAAGUAAAGAGAAGGGAAGGAUGAAACCAGUGACUCGUUGAAGACAAAUAUUUGUUGGACCAGUUCCAGUUGCUGUGACAACUGUACGUCUGGUUAGGGCGGCUAGGUAUUUAAACCAAAGGACACAUAGUCCCGGACACCCAGUCCUGAACACGCAGCUCAGGACACCCAGUCCUCACAGUAUUCCCCUUGAGCUAAGGUCACACAGACCUCGCCCAAUCACUCUGGUAAGUCUUCAAGGUAGACUCCCAAACCUUCACAGACUUCGUUCACCGGCAAUCCACAAUGUCUCUUGGAUGCUAUAACGCGACGCCUAACUGGCUGGAGGAUGCACAGUCCUCAAGUGUAAUAAGUCUUCAUAUCACUCAGACAAGAAGACUUAAGUGAUGCCUAAUUCUCUUUGGCUCUGGGUGGUUAGGGCUUUAUCCUCGCAAGGAAUUCUCUCUCAAAGGCUUCGAGGUGGGUUGCUCUCAAACGACAAAAGCCGUACUCUGAAUCCGAGCAGCCAACCGUUUAUGGUUGUAGGGGGUGGGCUAUUUAUAGCCACUAGGCAACCCGACAUGAUUUGUCCGAAAUGACCCUGGGUCACUAAGGAACUGACACGUGUUCCAACGGUCAGAUUUCAAACUCACACGGCAACUUUACUUGGGCUACAAGCAAAGCUGACUUGUCCGACUCUGGACAAGAUUUGCUCUCAUAGUCUUCACUCGAAGACAUAGGUUUUUGUUUAAGCAUCACUUCAGUCAUUCUGACUGGUUCUCUUGGACCCCACUUAACAGUGCGGUGGUUCCUAUGACUCAACACAGAAGAAAAAGAACUACGAAAGAUCUAAGUCUUCGAGCUCCAUAGGCUUCAUGCAGUGUCUUCUCUUGUCAUAGUCUUCAAUGUGAAUAUCUUCAUAUACCACCUUUGACAUCAAUGUCUUCAUACAUUUUUAGGGGUCAUCUCUGGUGGGAAAACCAAAUCAAUGAGGUACUUCUACCUGUGUUAUCCUGCAAUUCUCAUAAACACAUUAGUCCCUCAACUAGGUUUGUCGUCAAUACUCCAAAACCAACUAGGGGUGGCACUAGAUGCACUUACACAGUCGUCUCUAAAGCAUAACCCCAAAAUGAUAGCAGUAAAUUAGUAAGAGACAUCAUAGAUCGCACCAUAUCUAAUAAAGUGCGGUUACGAUGUUCGGACACACCAUUAUGUUGUGGUGUUCCGUGUGGCGUGAGUUGCGAAACUGUUCUGCAUUGUUUCAAAUGAAGACCAAACACGUAACUCAAAUAUUCACCUCCACGAUCAGAUUGUAGAAACUUUAUUUUCUUGUUACGAUAUUUUUCCUCUUCACUCUGAAUUUUUUUGAACUUUUCAAAUGUUUCAGACUUAUGUUUCAUCAAGUAGAUAUACCCAUAUCUGCUCAAAUCAUCUGUGAAGGUCAGAAAAUAACAAUACCCGCCGCGAGCCUCAACACUCAUCGGACCGCAUACAUCCGUAUGUAUUAUUUCCAACAAGUCUAUUGCUCACUCCAUUGUUCCGGAGAAUGGAGUCUUAGUCAUCUUGCCCAUGAGGCAUGGUUCGCAAGCAUCAAGUGAUUCAUAAUCAAGUGAUUCCAAAAGUCCAUCAGCAUGGAGUUUCUUCAUGCGCUUUACACCAAUAUGACCUAAACGGCAGUGCCACAAAUAAGUUGCACUAUCAUUAUUAACCUUGCAUCUUUUGGCUUCAAUAUUAUGAAUAUGUGUGUCACUAUUGUCGAGAUUCAAUAAAAAUAGAUCACUCAUCAAGGGUGCAUGACCAUAAAAGAUAUUACUCAUAUAAAUAGAACAACCAUUAUUCUCUGAUUUAAAUGAAUAUCCGUCUCGCAUCAAACAAGAUCCAGAUAUAAUGUUCAUGCUUAACGUUGGCACCAAAUAACAAUUAUUCAGGUCUAAAACUAAUCCCGAUGGUAGAUGUAGAGGUAGCAUGCUGACGGCGAUCACAUCGACUUUGGAACCAUUUCCCACGCGCAUCGUCACCUCGUCCUUAGCCAAUCUUCGCUUAAUCCGUAGCCCAUGUUUCGAGUUGCAAAUAUGAGCAACAGAACCAGUAUCAAAUACCUAGGCGCUACUACGAGCAUUAGUAAGGUACACAUUAAUAACAUGUAUAUCAAAUAUACCUUUCACUUUGCCAUCCUUCUUAUCCAUCAAAUACUUGGGGUAGUUCCGCUUCCAAUGACCAGUCCCUUUGUAGUAGAAGCAUUCAGUCUCCGGCUUAGGUCCAGACUUGGGCUUCUUCACUUGAGCAACAACUUGCUUGUCAUUCUUCUUGAAGUUCCCCUUCUUCCCUUUGCCCUUUUUCUUGAUACUGGUGGUCUUGUUGACCAUCAACACUUGAUGCUCCUUCUUGAUUUCUACCUCUACAGCCUUUAGCAUUGCGAAGAGCUCGGGAAUUGUCUUAUCCAUCCCUUGCAUAUUAUAGUUCAUCAUGAAGCUUUUGUAGCUUGGUGGCAGUGAUUGAAGAACUCUGUCAAUGACACUAUCAUCAGGAAGAUUAACUCCUAGUUGAGUCAAGUGGUUGUGGUACCUGGACAUUUUGAGUAUAUGUUCACUAACAAAACUAUUCUCCUCCAUCUUACAGCUGUAGAACUUAUUGGAGACUUCAUAUCUCUCAAUCCGGGCAUUUGCUUGAAAAUUUUACUUCGACUCCUGGAACAUCUCAUAUGCUCCAUGAUGUUCAAAACGUUGUUGAAGUCCCGAUUCUAAGCCGUAAAGCAUGGCACACUAAACUAUCGAGUAGUCAUCGGCUUUGCUCUACCAGACGUUCAUAAUGUCCGGUGUUGCUUGAUACGUCUCCGUCGUAUCUACUUUUCCAAACACUUUUGUCCUUGUUUUGGACUCUAACUUGCAUGAUUUGAAUGGAACUAACCCGGACUGACGCUGUUUUCAGCAGAAUUACCAUGGUGUUAUUUAUGUGUAGAAAUAAAAGUUCUCGGAAUGACCUGAAACUUCAGGGAACGUCUUUUUGGAAAUAAUAAAAAAUCCUUGCAAAAGAUGAAGACCAGGGGGCCCACACCCUAGCCACGAGGGUGGGGGCGCGCCUGCCCCCCUAGGCGCGACCCCUACCUUGUGGGCCCCCUGGAGCUCCUCCGACCUCAACUCCAACUCUAUAUAUUUGCUUUCAGGGAGAAAAAAAUUAGAGAGAAGGAUUCAUCGCGUUUUACAAUACAGAGCCGCCGCCAAGCCCUAAAACCUCUCAGGAGGGCUGAUCUGGAGUCCGUUCGGGGCUCCGGAGAGGGGAAUCCGUCGCCAUCGUCAUCAUCAACCUUCCUCCAUCACCAAUUUCAUGAUGCUCACCGCCGUGCGUGAGUAAUUCCAUCAUAGGCUUGCUGGACGGUGAUGGGUUGGAUGAUAUUUAUCAUGUAAUCGAGUUAGUUUUGUUAGGGUUUGAUCCCUAGUAUCCACUAUGUUGUGAGAUUGAUGUUGCUAUGACUUUGCUAUGCUUAAUGCUUGUCACUAGGGCCCGAGUGCCAUGAUUUCAGAUCUGAACCUAUUAUGUUUUCAUCAAUAUAUGAGUGUUCUUGAUCCUAUCUUGCAAGUCUAUAGUCACCUACUAUGUGUUAUGAUCUGGCAACCCCGAGGUGACAAUAAUAGGGACCACUCCCGGUGAUGACCGUAGUUUGAGGAGUUCAUGUAUUCAUUAUGUGUUAAUGCUUUGGUCUGGUACUCUAUUAAAAGGAGGCCUUAAUAUCCCUUAGUUUCCGCUAGGACCCCGCUGCCACGGGAGGGUAGGACAAAAGAUGUCAUGCAAGUUCUUUUCCAUAAGCACGUAUGACUAUAUUCGAAAUACAUGCCUACAUUACAUUGAUGAAUUGGAGCUAGUUUUGUGUCACCCUAGGUUAUGACUGUUACAUGAUGAACCGCAUCCGGCGUAAUUCUCUAUCACCGAUCCAUUGCCUACGAGCUUUCCAUAUAUUGUUCUUCACUUAUUUACUUUUCCGUUGCUAUUGCUAUCAUCACUACAAAAUACCAAAAACAUUAAUUUUGCUAUCGUUACCUUUUGCUACCGUUACCACUACUAUCAUAUUACGUUGCUACUAAACACUUUACUACAGAUAUUAAGUUUCUAGGUGUGGUUGAAUUGACAACUCAACUUUCAACUGCUAAUACUUGAUAAUAUUCUUUGGCUCCCCUUGUGUCGAAUCAAUAAAUUUGGGUUGAAUACUCUACCCUCGAAAACUGUUGCGAUCCCCUAUACUUGUGGGUUAUCAAGACUAUUUUCUGGCGUCGUUGCCGGGGAGCAUAGCUCUAUUCUUUGAGUCACUUGGGAUUUAUAUCUGUUUAUCAUUAUGAAGAACUUGAGAGAUCCAAAAACCAAGAUUUAUCUCUCAACUACGAGGGGAGGUAAGGAACUGCCAUCUAGCUCUGCACUUGAUUCACCUUCUAUUUUGAGUAAGCUUGCGACACCUAAACCUGCUUCUGCUAUUCAUUCUGAUAUGUCGCAUGUUAUUAAUGAUGCCACUUGUGCUAUGCAUGAUACUUAUGAUGAAACUACUUCUAUGCUUGAUACUACUGUGCCACUUGGUGAAUUUCUUGAUGAACAACUUGCUAGGGUUAGAGAGAAUGAAAUUAUUGAAACUGAUAAUAUAUAUAUAUAUAUUUGAAUAUAUACUGUAGGGUAAAACCCCCACAGCCCUUUAUUGCAGUCUCAAAAAACAAACUGUACAGUGAAAGAAAGAGAUGACAAGCCUAAACGAAAAGUUAAGAAGAACUUACAAUUACAUGAGGGAGUUAACUCAAUCUACAAGCCUAGACUUAGAGCUAUCCUUAAACCUAUGUGACAGGAGAAGAAUGUCAUGUACAAAACUGCCCCUCCAGGCAACAAAAGUAGCCCGUAGUCCCCUGAAAGUUCUUCCAUUUCUCAGAAUCCAUAUAUUCCAAGCAGCUGUGAGCAUAACUUCAAAGAAGAAAGGAUACCCAAAUCGCUGCCUUGCUUGAGAUAUACAUUGCUGAAUAGAAGAACCAUGUGACCAAUCGAUCUGCAGGUAUUUCCAAACCCUGGCACUGAAAUUACAACCAAAGAAUAGGUGAGCCCUGUCCUCCCAAACAAAGGCAUUACAGAUGACACAUAGAUGAUCAGCCGUAGGGGACCUCCGGUGGCUGCGGACCAGCACGUCCUUUGUGUUGAGUCUGUCAAAGAAUAGGAGCCAGCCAAAAACCUUAAUUUUCAUAGUACAUAUGCUCUGCCAAAGCCACCUGCAGGGUUUAAUAGUUGGGAGGUGUGUAUGCAUGAUGUCAUAGAAGCUCUUUGCAGAAAACUGUCCAGAUUUACCAGGCCAAAUCCAAACAUCAGGCAAUGUUGGAUCUCUCUGGAGAUUGAACAUCCUUCCUUCCAAGGAUUCCAAUUCUGCUGCUGCCUGCUGAGAAAUUGGCAGAUGAAACAUUGAGAACAAAUCCUGGGUUUGCAAAAACUCCCUGACAGAAACCUUAUCAUCCAAAACAAAAGAGAAAAGCCUUGGUAAUCUGAGGCUUAGUGGCCUUGAAGAGCCACCUACAUGGCAAGCAUCCAGCCAAAAGAGAGCAGAAUCACCCAUAUUAACUGGCACUGAAGCAAUUGACCUAUAAGUGUCAGCAAGCUUGAGAAUGUCCUUCCACCAAAAGGAGCCAGUUAGGACUGUUGCAUGGGGCACCACUCCAUCAUAAUAACUAUCCCAAAUCAACUGGACCCAAGGAAUCUGCUGUUUGUUGUAGAACUUAUGCAUUUGUUUGAGAAGCAGACCUUGAUUUUGAACAUUGAGGUUGAGAAUGCCAAGUCCUCCCUUAUCCUUUGGUCUGCAAACUAAAUCACAGGCAGCUAGGGAUUGCUUAGGCACAUCAGAAUUUCCUCUCCACAAACACUGCCUGAAAAUCCUAUCCAACUGUUUGAUAAUACCAGGUGGGAUAUGCAAGCUGCAGAGGAAGUAUAUGGGCAUUGAAGUAAGCACAGAUGUGAGAAAUUGUAACCUGGAUCCUUGGUUGAGCAUGGCAGAGCUAACAGACAGUCUUCUUUCAAGACUAUCCACUAAAGGCAUGAAAUCAAUGAUUCUAGGUCUUGUUGUACCAAGAGGCAAACCCAGAUAUGUGAAAGGUAACUGCUCCGGUUUACAUCCCAGGAUGGAAGACAACCUCUGUGCCUCUGUGGGAUCAACAUUUAGUGGCACCAUUGAAGACUUUCCAAAAUUUACCUUUAGGCCAGUAGACUGUUGGAAAAUAUGGAGCAUGUUCUUGAGAGCCACCAACUGGUCCUGUACUGCAGAAAGGAUAAUUAUUGUGUCAUCUGCAUACUGAAUGAUAGGAAAUUCAGGGUCCUAAGAUGGGAUUGGAAGUGUUAGAACUCCCUUAGCCAGCAUGUUAUUGACCAUUGUUUGAAGAAGAUCGGCAGCUAUGACAAAUAAAAGAGGGGAUAGGGGAUCCCCCUGCCUGACCCCACAUUUAUAUUUGAACUGUUUGCCAGGCACCCCAUUAAGCAAAACAGAUGAUGAUCCUGAGGAGAGAAUCUCUUUAAUCCAAGAAAUCCAUUUGGCAUCAAAACCUUUGUGCUGUAGAACUUGCAAGAUGAAGUCAUGCUCCACAGUGUCAAAAGCUUUGGCAAAAUCCAAUUUCAAAAUGAUGGUUGGCCUUUUGGAUUGAUUGCAUUGAUGUAUAUAUUCAAAAGCCCAAGCCAGGCAGUCCUGAAUGGCUCUGCUCUUCAAAAACCCAUAUUGAUUCUUAUGGAUGCAUUGCAGAAUGACCUUUUGAAGCCUAUUUCCCAAAAGCUUAGUAAGGAACUUGAGGCAUGUGUUAGUAAGAGAGAUUGGUCUAAAAUCCUCAAGUCCUUCAGGAGACAACAUCUUUGGAAUUAAGGUGAUAAGGGAUCCAUUAAUAUUUUCCAAAGAUAGCCUCCCAUCAUAAAACCCCUGAAUGAGAGCCAAGAAAUCCUUCUCAAUGAUGGGCCAACACUUCUUAACAAAAAGACCAUUAAAACCGUGAAAGUGAUGAUGAAGAUUCUCCCCCUAAUAAAUAUGAAUUGCCUGUUGUGCCUGAGGGCUAUGUUAUGGAUGAAGAAAUUGCUAAAGCUAUUUUUGUUUGCAAAGAUAGAUAUGAUCUUAAGAAGUUAUUAGCUAAAUGGAAGCAGCAAUCUCUUAAUGCUAGAAUGAAACCUGACCCUGCUUUUGCUACUUCACCUAUCUGUGUUACUGAUAAGGAUUAUGAAUUCUCUGUUGAUCCUGAUAUAAUUACUUUGGUUGAAUCUGAUCCUUUUCAUGGCUAUGAGUCUAAAACUGUUGUGGCACAUCUUACUAAAUUAAAUGAUAUAGCCACCCUAUUCACUAAUGAUGAGAGAACUCGUUACUUUUAUAUCCUUAAAAUAUUCCUGUUCUCAUUAAAGGGUGAUGCUAAGAUAUGGUUUAAUUCUCUUGAUCCUGGUUGUGUGCGUAGUCCCCAGGAUAUGAUUUAUUACUUCUCUGCUAAAUAUUUCACUGCUCAUAAGAAACAAGCUGCUUUGAGGGAUAUAUAUAAUUUUGUGCAAAUUGAAGAAGAGAGUCUCCCACAAGCUUGGGGGAGGCUUCUCCAAUUACUUAAUGCUUUGCCUGAUCAUCCUCUUAAGAAAAAUGAAAUAUUGGAUAUAUUUUAUAAUGGACUAAGUGAUGCUUCCAGAGAUUACCUGGAUAGUUGUGUUGGUUCUGUUUUCAAGGAAAGAACACCGGAUGAAGCUGAAAUUCUAUUGAAUAAUAUGUUGACAAAAGAAAAUAAUUGGACACUUCCUGAGCCAGCUCCUGAGCCUAUUCCUAAACCAACUCCGAAGAAGAGGGGUAUUCUAUUUCUCAGUCCUGAAGAUAUGCAAGAGGCAAAGAAAUCCAUGAAAGAAAAGGGUAUUAAAGCUGAAGAUGUUAAGAAUUUACCUCCUAUUGAAGAAAUACACGGUCUUAAUUUACCGCCUGUUGAAGAAACAUAUGAUCUUAAUCCAUUACCUAUUGAAGAAAUACAUGGUCUUGAUAACCCGACACAAGUAGUAAAGGUAAACUCUCUCUAUAGAUAUGAUAAAAUUGAAAUCCCUCUUACUAAGUUUGCUAGCCAAUGCUUAGAUGAGUUUGAUAAUUUUAUGGUGAAGCAAGAAGAUUUUAAUUCUUAUUUUGGUAGACAAUUGAAAUACAAUUCAAAUAUGCUUGAACACUUGGGUGAUUAUAUGGCUAAUGUUAAAGGUGAAAUUAAACUUAUUAGCAAACAUGCUUCUAUGGUUACCACUCAAGUAGAACAAGUACUUAAAGCUCAAAAUGAUUUGCUCAAUGAACUGAAUAGUAAGAAUAAUGAUAAUGCUGUUAGAGUUAUGACUAGAGGUGGUAAAAUGACUCAAGAACCUUUGUAUCCUGAAGGCCAUCAUAAGAGAAUUGAGCAAGAUUCUCGGAGAAAUAAUAUAGAUGCACCUAGUUCUUCUAAAAGGAAGAAAAAGAAAAAUGAUAGGACUUUGCAUGCUUCUAGUGAACCUAUUGAUGAAACACCUGAGAAUCCAAAUGAUAUUUCUAUUUCUGAUGCUGAAACACAAUCUGGUAAUGAACCUGAAACUAGUGAUAAUAUUAAUGAUAAUGUUCAUGUUGAUGCUCAACCUAGCAAUGAUAAUGAUAUAGAAAUUGAACCUGUUGUUGAUCUUGAUAACCCACAAUCAAAGAAUCAACGUUAUGAUAAGAGAGACUUUGUUGCUAGGAAACAUGGUAAGGAAAGAGAGCCUUGGGUUCAGAAACCCAUGCCUUUUCCUCCCAAACCAUCCAAGAAAAAGGAUGAUGAGGAUUUUGAGCACUUUGCUGAAAUGAUUAGACCUACCUUUUUGCGUAUGCGAUUAACUGAUAUGCUUAAAAUGAAUCCUUAUGCUAAGUACAUGAAAGAAAUUGUUACUAAUAAAAGAAAGAUACCGGAAGCUGAAAUUUCCACCAUGCUUGCUAAUUAUACUUUUAAAGGUGGAAUACCUAAGAAACUAGGAGAUCCCGGAGUACCAACUAUACCAUGCUCCAUUAAAAGAAAUUAUGUUAAAAUUGCUUUAUGUGAUCUUGGAGUCGGUGUUAGUGUUAUGCCUCUCUCUUUAUAUCAUAGACUUGAUUUGAAUAAGUUGACACCUACUAAAAUAUCUUUGCAAAUGGCUGAUAAAUCAACUGCUAUACCUAUCGGUAUUUGUGAGGAUGUGCCUGCUGUGGUUGCAAACGUUACUAUUUUAAUGGACUUUGUUAUUCUUGAUAUUCCCGAGGACGAUAGUAUGUCUAUUAUUCUUGGAAGACCCUUUUUGAAUACUGCAGGGGCUGUUAUUGAUUGCAACAAAGGCAAUGUCACUUUUCAUGUUAAUGGUAAUGAGCAUACGGUACACUUUCCGAGGAAACAACCUCAAGUCCACAGUAUCAAUUCUAUUGGAAAAAUUCAAUCGAUUAUUUUUGAAGGUUUUGAAUUUCCUCUUCCUACUGUCAAAAGAAAUAUGAUAUUCUUAUUAUUGGGGAUGUGCAUAUCCCCGUUGAGGUAACAUAGUGUUAUUCGAAAUUCCUCCGGUUCCAUGUUAUUCGGAAUGAGUUUGCUAACAAGACUUGAUCAACCAUGUUAACGGAUUCCUUUUGAUGAGCAUGAGAUGGAUGAAACUAGAAGGCACAACUCUCCGUACCCUCCUUUUACUUUCUGUUAUUUAUAUUAAAUAAAAUUAAAAGAAGUAUUUUCCGUCUGUUAUCUGAUUUAUCCGUGCAAUAUAAAAUACCCCGAAAAUAAAAGUUCUCCAAAUGCCUUGAAAUUUAAAUAUGAUUUUUUCUGGAAUAUUUGAGAAUAUUUGGCACUAAGAACACAACACAGGGGGCAUCCACCUGGCCACGAGAGUGGAGGGCGCGCCCUACCCCCCCUGUGCGUGCCCCUUGCCUCGUGGGCCCACGGUGGCCCUCCUCCACUUAUUCCUGCACCCACACACUCCUUCCUCCCAUAAACACGAUUAUCCAGUUCGAACCCAAGUCCAAGCUCAUUUUGCUGCUAUUUUCGAUCUCCUUGCUCAAAGCACCUCUCACAAAACUGCUUGGGGGGAUUGUUCCUUGGUAUGCGACUCCUCCAUUGGUCCAAUUAGUUUUUGUUCUAGUGCUUUAUUCAUUGCAAAUUUAUGUUGUCUAGGUGCCCAUGUUCCUGAGCUUGCAUGUCAAAUUUAUGUGGUUCCAACUAGUUUUGAUGCAUGAUAUAGGCUCUAGGCACUUGUAGGAGUUGUUGCUAUCAAUUUUGUUGAGCUUGGCUCACUUUUAUUUGAAGUUACUAAAAAUUUCAGAAUUUUUCAGAAAAUAAUGAAGAGAUUUUUGAGGGGCUCAUCAAGCCGAAGCUCGAAGGAAAAGCAAAAUGAAAAAGCAGAGAGGCCCGAAUAUAAUCUGCCUCGCACCGCAGAGGUUCGGCCGUGUGAAUGGCCUUCCAAUGAUUUCUUGAGAGCAGUCGGGAUUUAUGAUGAUUUUUAUGAAUUGGCUGAGAAUGUAGGCCUCACCGCCUUCCUCCAUGACCAACGCGAACAAUAUCUCUUACUCACCAAUAUCUUUGUGCAAAACUUUCAUUUCCAUGCUAGGAGCUCACCACCUACGGUGGAGUUUUAUUUGUAUGAUGAGCACAAGGAGAUGUCACUUUACGAUUUCUGUCGGGUUUGAUUGAUCCCUUUCGAGGGCACAAUAGAGGAACCACACCGCGGUGAUGUGGAUGGGUUUAUAGAUACCAUCACUGUAGGGGAAACGAGGAAGGUUUCCGAUGCACGAAUCACUAGCAUACAUUUUCCUGUUUUACGCUACUUUGCAAUAUUUGCUAGUCGUUGCUUAAUUGGUCGCGAAAACUGUGGAAACCUUAGUGUUCCUGAUAUUAUUAUUUUGUUCCACGGUUUAUUCUGUGAUAAAUCUGUUAGUAUGGGCGGUAUUAUUGCUAAACGGUUAAGUCUCAACUGUACAAAGGGCCCCAUCUUUGGAGGCAUCUAUGCUUCACGCCUAACUGCGCAUUUUAACAUACCUAUUAAGCAUUAUGAGAAGGAAGAAAAAUUGCUGCCCCUGUUUAUUUAGAUUAUAAGAGUAUGGUGGCACACGAUUUUAUUGUUAAGAAUAGGAAAGGGGAGCUUAAAUACAAAUUGUUCUUUGAUAAACAUCAUCCUGAGACUAUUACCCUGCCUACUCCUUCCUUGUUUGAUUUAUCUCCAGGCAAGUACCUUGUUCCGUUAGAGGCUAUUCACGCCUACCGGAACAUUGCAUCAGCCACAGAGCCAGAGUCGGAACCACUAGUUGAUCCUCCACGACAGUCUAAUUACCAUUGGGAUCCAGAAAUGAUAGCCACCAGUGGAAAUCAGAGUCUUCUUCGCAGUACGACCCCAACUAUUACUAUGGAUAUCCGCCAGGCCAGCCGUGGCCAUAGACCAACUUAGGUCAAAAGCCUAAACUUGGGGGAGUACGUAUUUCCCGCCGACAUUACAUUCAUGUUCGCACACUCAUUGCUAGAUGUCGGUGCUCAUACUUUUUCAUUGUAUCAUCCAUGCUAGUUCAUUUCCUUUUUAAGCUUUCUUCUUGUGUGUUUAAUAAACCUUAAGAAAAACCAAAAAAACUAGUUGUAGCUUUUAGCUAGUUUUAAUUUCCAUGCUUGUAGUAGUAAUUAAAAAGAAAACCCAAAAAAAGAUUUCUUGUUCUUGUUUUGCUCGUUGGGAGCUUUCCCGUGUAAAUAGUUUUAUUUCUUUUCUUUGGGGGUCGAUAGGAGAAUACCAUGAUUAAAUUGUUGAAGUGGCUCUUAUAUAUAUUUUUUAUCUGACAAAAGAGCCCAUAUUGCCUUGUCUUCUCCAGUUUAUUGAAUGCUUGCAGAUUCCAGCUUAGUCCAAUGCACGCGCACUAUUAUUAUUAUCCACAUCGUUCGGUCGUGCAAGUGAAAGGCAAUUAUGACAAUAUAUGAUGGACUGACUGAGAUGAGAAAAGCUGGUAUAAACUCAACCUCUCUUGUUUUUGUAAAUAUGAUUAGUUCAUCGUUCCUGAUUCAGCCUAUUAUGAAUAAACAUGUUUGCAAUGACAACUAGAGAUCAUAGUUUCUUGUGCCAUGCUUGAUUAGCUAGGAGCUUAUAAUGGUUUACCUUGCGUGCCAACAUGCUAUUAAAAUGGUUGUGAUGUGGUAUGAUAGGGUGGUAUCCUCCUCUGAAUGAUUUGAGUGGCUUGACUUGGCACAUGCUCACGCAUGUAGUUGAAAUAAAAUCAACAUAUCCUCUACGAUAUUUAUGUUCAUGGGGAAUUAUAUCCUACUCAUGCUUGCAUUUGGUGUUGAUUAAUUUUAAUGCAUGUUUAUGAGUGUUGUCGCUCUCUAGCUGGUUGCUUCCCAGUCUUUUGCUAGCCUUCACCUGUACUAAGCGGGAAUACUGCUUGUGCAUCCAAUCCCAUAAACCCCAAAGUUAUUCCAUAUGAGUCCACCAUACCUACCUAUUUACGGUAUCUACCUGCCGUUCCAAGUAAAUUUGUAUGUGCCAAACUCUAAACCUUCAAAUAAAUAUCAUGUUUUGUAUGCUCGAAUAGCUCAUGUAUCAACUAGGGCUGUCUGUAUCUUCCAUGUUAGGCGGGUUAUUCUCAAGAGGAGUGGACUCCGCUCCUCACUCACGAGAAAAUGGCUGGUCACCGGGAUGCCCAGUCCCAUGCUUUAUGCAAAUCAAAUCAAAAUAAUUGCAAACAAAACUCUCCCUAGGACUCUUGUUAGUUGGAGGCACUCGUUGUUUUGAGCAAGCCAUGGAUUGAUGCUUGUUAGUGGAAGGGGAGUAUAAACUUUACCAUUCUGUUUGGGAACCGCCUAUAAUGUGUGUAGCAUAGAAUAUAUCGCCCUCUCUUGGUUGUUAUGUUGACAAUGAAAGUAUACUGCUCAAAAUAUUAUUCACCUCUAUUUCAAAACCGAGCUCUGGCACCUCUACAAAUCCCUGCUUCCCUCUGCGAAGGGCCUAUCUAUUUACUUUUAUGUUGACUCAUCAUCCUCUUAUUAAAAAUCACAAGUUGGAGAGCACCGCUGUCAUUUGCAUUCAUUACUGUUAGUUUACAUUGAGUAUGACUGGACUGGAUCUCUUUUACCAUGAAUUACAAUGUCUAGUCAGUCCUUGAUCUUUAAAGGUGCUCUGCAUUUAUGUUUUGCGGUCUCAGAAAGGGCUAGCGAGAUACCAUCUUGUUAUAUCAUAUCAUGAUUGUUUUGAGAAAGUGUUGUCAUCUGAGAUUUAUUAUAUUGCUCGCUAGUUGAUUAUGCCAUUGAUAUGAGUAAACAUGAGACCUAAAUGUUAUUGUGAAUAUGGUUAGUUCAUAAUCUUUGCUGAAAACUUGAAUGCUGGCUCUACAUAUUUACAACAACAAGAGCAAACAGAGUUUGUAAAAGUUUUUCUUUAUCACUUUCAGCUUAUCAACUGAACUGCUUGAGGACAAGCAAAGGUUUAAGCUUUGGGCAGUUGAUACGUCUUCGUCGUAUCUACUUUUCCAAACACUUUUGCCCUUGUUUUGGACUCUAACUUGCAUGAUUUGAAUGGAACUAGCCCGGACUUACGCUGUUUUCAGCAGAAUUGCCAUGGUGUUAUUUUUGUGCAGAUAUAAAAGUUCUCGGAAUGACCCGAAAAUCAACGGAGAAUUAUUUUGGAAUACAUAAAUAAUACUGGAAGGAAGAUCCACGUCAGGGGGGCCUCCACCUGUCCACGAGGGUGGGGGCGCGCCCUACCCCCCUGGUGCUACCUCUUGAGCACUGCGUUGGUUUUCCCUUGAAGAGGAAAGGGUGAUGCAGUAAAGUAGCGUAAGUAUUCCCCUCAGUUUUUGAGAACCAAGGUAUCAAUCCAGUAGGAGAUCACGCUCGAGUCCCACGCACCUACACAACCAAAUAAGAACCUCGCAACCAACGCGAUAAAGGGGUUGUCAAUCCCUUCACGGUCACUUACGAGAGUGAGAUCUGAUAGAUAUGGUAAGAUAAUAUUUUGGUAUUUUUAUGAUAAAGAGAAAUAAAGAUGCAAAGAAAAAUAAACGGCAAUAGAAAUAACUAAGUAUCACCUGGGCGCACCCCCUGCCUCGUGGGCCCCCUGACGCUCCACCAACCUCAACCCUGACUUCAUAUAUUCACUUUCGGGGAGAAAAAACCAGAGAGAAAGAUUCAUCACAUUUUACGAUACGGAGCCGCCGCCAAGCCCUAAACUCUCUCGGGAGGGCUGAUCUGGAGUCCGUUCGGGGCUCCGAAGAGGGGAAUCCAUCGCCAUCAUCAUCAUCAACCUUCCUCCAUCACCAAUUUCAUGAUGCUCACCGUCGUGCGUGCAUAAUUCCAUCGUAGGCUUGCUGGACGGUGAUGGGUUGGAUGAGAUUUAUCAUGUAAUCGAGUUAGUUUUGUUAGGGUUUGAUCCCUAGUAUCCACUAUGUUCUGAGAUUGAUGUUGCUAUGACUUUGCUAUGCUUAAUGCUUGUCACUAGGGCCCGAGUGCCAUGAUUUCAGAUCUGAACCUAUUAUGUUAUCAUCAAUAUAUGAGCGUUCUUGAUCCUAUCUUGCAAGUCUAUAGUCACCUACUAUGUGUUAUGAUCCGGCAACCCCGAAGUGACAAUAAUCGGGACCACUCCUGGUGAUGACCGUAGUUUGAGGAGUUCAUGUAUUCACUAUGUGUUAAUGCUUUGGUCCGGUACUCUAUUAAAAGGAGGCCUUAAUAUCCCUUAGUUUCUGCUAGGACCCCGCUUCCACGGGAGGGUAGGACAAAAGAUGUCAUGCAAGUUCUUUUCCAUAAGCACGUAUGACUAUAUUCGGAAUACAUGCCUACAUUACAUUAAUGAAUUGGAGCUAGUUCUAUGUCACCCUAGGUUAUGAUUGUUACAUGAUGAACCGCAUCCGACAUAAUUCUCUAUCACUGAUCCAUUGCCUACGAGCUUUCCAUAUAUUGUUCUUCGCUUAUUUACUUUUCCAUUGCUAUUGCUAUCAUCACUACAAAAUACCAAAAACAUUACUUUUGCUAUCGUUACCUUUUGCUGCCGUUACCACUACUAUCAUAUUACUUUGCUACUAAACACUUUGCUGCAGAUAUUAAGUUUCCAGGUGUGGUUGAAUUGACAAGUCAGCUGCUAAUAGUUGAGAAUAUUCUUUGGCUCCCCUUGUGUUGAAUCAAUAAAUUUGGGUUGAAUACUCUACCCUUGAAAACUGUUGCGAUCCCCUAUACUUGUGGGUUAUCAUUGCUCCUGCAGCGGGUCUUGCACAUAGCGGUGCUUCCAGGACGUAAUUCUUCUGUGUAGCAAUGAGGAUAAUCCUCAAGUUACGGACCUAGUCCAUGUAGUUGCUACCAUCAUCUUUCAACUUAGGUUUCUCUACGAACGCAUUAAAAUUCAAAGGGACAUUAGCACGGGCCAUUGAUCUACAACAACAUAGACAUGCAAACUACUAUCAGGUGCUAAGUUCAUGAUAAAUUAAAGUUCAAUUAAUCAUAUUACUUAAGAACUCCCACUUAGAUAGACAUCCCUCUAGUCAUCUAAAUGAUCACGUGAUCCAUAUCAACUAAACCAUGUCCGAUCAUCUCGUGAGAUGGAGUAGUUUCAAUGGUGAACAUCACUAUGUUGAUCAUAUCUACUAUAUGAUUCACGCUCGACCUUUCGGUCUCAGUGUUCCGAGGCCAUAUCUGCAUAUGCUAGGCUCGUCAAGUUUAACCCGAGUAUUCUGCGUGUGCAAAACUGGCUUGCACCCGUUGUAUGUGAACGUAGAGCUUAUCACACCCGGUUAUCACGUGGUGUCUCGGCACGACGAACUAUAGCAAUGGUGCAUACUCAGAGAGAACACUUGUACCUUGAAAUUUAGUGAGAGAUCAUCUUAUAAUGCUACCGCCGUACUAAGCAAAAUAAGAUGCAUAAAGGAUAAACAUCACAUGCAAUCAAAAUAAGUGAUAUGAUAUGGCCAUCAUCAUCUUGUGCCUUUGAUCUCCAUCUCCAAAGAACCGUUAUGAUCACCAUCAUCACCGGCUUGACACCUUGAUCUCCAUCGUAGCAUCGUUGUCAUCUCGCCAACUAUUGCUUCUACGACUAUCGCUACCACUUAGUGAUAACGUAAAGCAAUUACAUGGCGAUUGCAUUUCAUACAAUAAAGCGACAACCAUAAGGCUCCUGCCAGUUGCCGAUAACUUUUACAAAACAUGAUCAUCUCAUACAACAACUUAUAUAUCAUCACGCAAAAACAAGUUAGACGUCCUCUACUUUGUUGUUGCAAGUUUUACGUGGCUGCUACAGGCUUCUAGCAAGAACCGUUCUUAUCUACGCAUCAAAACCACAAUGAUUUUUCAUCAAGUGUGUUGUUUUAACCUUCAACAAGGACCGGGCGUAGUCAAACUCGAUUCAACUAAAGUUGGAGAAACAGACACCCAGUAGCCACCUGUGUGUGAAGCACCUCGAUGGAACCAGUCUCAUGAACGCGGUCAUGUAAUGUCGGCCUGAGCUGCUUCAUCCAACAAUACCGCCAAAUCAAAGUAAGACGUUGCUGGUAAGAAGUAUGACUAUUAUCGUCCACAACUCAUUGUGUUCUACUCGUGCAUAUAACAUCUACGCAUAGACCUGGCUCGGAUGUCAUUGUUGGGGAACGUAGUAUUUCAAAAAAAAUCAUACGAUCACGCAAGAUAUAUCUAGGAGAAGCAUAGCAAUGAGCGGGGAGAGUGUGUUCACGUACCCUCGUAGACCGAAAGCGGAAGCGUUUAGUAACACGGUUGAUGUAGUCGAACGUCUUUGCGAUCCAAUCGAUCCAAACACCAAACGUACGACACCUCCGCGUUCAGCACACGUUCAGCUUGAUGACAUCCCUCGAGCUCUUGAUCCAGUUGAGGCCGAGGGAUAGUUCCGUCAGCACGAUGGCGUGGCGACGGUGAUGAUGAAGUUACCGGCGCAGGGCUUCGCCUAAGAACUACGACGAUAUGACCGAGGUGUGUAACUGUGGAGGGGGGCAACGCCCACGGCUAAGAGAAACUUGUGUCUUUGGGGUGCCCCCCUCCCACGUAUAUAAAUGGGGGGAGGAGGCCGGCCCAAAGGGGGGCGCGCCACAUGUUGGGGGUCCUACUAGGACUCCCUAGUCCUAGUAGGAUUCCCCUCUCCUUUCCUUUUACGGAAGGGGGAAAGGGGGGAAGGAGAGGAGGGGAAGAGGGAAAGGGGGCACGCCCCCUCCCCUUCCUAUUCGGACUCCACUUGGGGGGACGCGCACGCCUCCCCCUUGUGGGUUGUACCCUCUUCUCUCCCAUGGCCCAUAAGGCCCAUGAUUUCCCCCGGGGGGUUCCGGUAACCUCCCGGUACUCCAGAAAAAUGCUCGAAUCACUCGGAAUCAUUCUGAUGUUUGAAUGCAACCUUCCAAUAUAUGAAUCUUUACCUCUCGACCAUUUCUGUGAUCUCAUCCGGGACUCCGGACAAACUUCAGUCAUCAAAUCACAUAACUCAUAAUACAAAUUGGCACGAACGUUAAGCAUGCGGACCCUAUGGGUUUGAGAACUAUGUAGACAUGACUGAGACACAUCUCCGGUCAUUAACCAAUAGCGGAACCUGGAUGCUCAUAUUGGCUCCUACAUAUUCUACGAAGAUCUUUAUCGGUCAAACCGCAUAACAACAUACGUAGUUCCCUUUGUCAUAUGUAUGUUAUUUGCCCGAGAUCCGAUCGUCGGUAUCCCCAUACCUAGUUCAAUCUCGUUACCGUCAAGUAUCUUUACUUGUUCCGUAAUGCAUCAUCAUGUAACUAACUCAUUAGUCACAUUGCUUGCAAGGCUUAUAGUGAUGUGCAUUACCGAGAGGGCUUAGAGAUACCUCUCUGAUACACGAAGUGGCAAAUCCUAAUCUCGAUCUAUGCCAACUCAACAAACACCAUCAGAGACACCUGUAGAGCAUCUUUAUAAUCACCCAGUUACAUUGUGACGUUUGAUAGCACACUAAGUGUUCCUCCGGUAUUCGGGAGUUGCAUAAUCUCAUAGUCAUAGGAACAUGUAUAAGUCAUAAAGAAAGCAAUAGCAAUAAAAUUAAACGAUCAUUAUGCUAAGAUAACGGAUGGGUCUUGUCCAUCACAUCAUUCUCUAAUGAUGUGAUCCCGUUCAUCAAAUGACAACACAUGUCUAUGGUUAGGAAACUUAACCAUCUUUGAUUAACGAGCUAGUCUAGUAGAGGCAUACUAGGGACACUCUGUUUGUCUAUGUAUUCACACAUGUACUAAGUUUCUGGUUAAUACAAUUCUAGCAUGAAUAACAAAGAUUUAUCAUGAUAUAAGGAAAUAUAAAUAACAACUUUAUUAUUGCCUCUAGGGCAUAUUUCCUUCAGGAAGAGCAUCGCGGGUGGGAGGGAGAAGGGGAAUUAAGAGAGUGUGGGUUUGGGUUUGGGCCUCCGCGUGCUAUGUGUACACAUGUGUUGGUGGGUCGAUAGUAGUGGUCCUGGGUUUAUACCCCACGCUACUACUAUGGCCUAUCCCGGGGGUACGGUAGAGACCGCUUAGUAGUAGCGAGGGAUUUAUACCCCUCACUACUACUAUCAACUUAGUAGUAGUGAGGGAUUUAUACCCCUCGCUACUACUAUCAACUUAGUAGUAGUGAGGGAUUUAUACCCCUCGAUACUACUAUGGCCAGUCCCGGGGGGCACGGUGGAGACCACUUAGUAGUAGUGUGGGGUUUAUACCCCUCGCUACUACUAUCAACUUAGUAGUAGUGUGGGUUCUAUACCCCUCGCUACCAAUAAUUAGCAGCAGUGUGGCCCAUAUACCCCUCGCUACGGUUAAGCAUCUAUCUAUAAAGUAUUUUCUAGUAGUGCAUCGAUGGCGGCGAAAUCAGUCGUUCUGCUUGUUUUCCCUACUAGCUCUCUGACGUCCAGAACAAGUUUACGGUCAUAAGGUGCAAUAACCUUGCCUUCAUGAGUGACACGAUGACACGGGAACAGGCUUCCAAGCCUAUGGUGUCGCAUCAUGUCGUGGUCUGCUAGACUUAGUGGACGAAUGCUACUACAAUAUCGGUUGAUCUCAUACUACAAUACCAAGGAAGACACGCAACUACUAUAUAUAUUUCUUCAAGUCAGUCAACACAAGUAAAAUCUGGGAGUUCAACUGGUGCAGCUAUGCAAUGCUAAUGGAGACAACACAAUUCAACUUUAGCACUUCACACAUAAGCAACACCACGUUCAAUGGCACACACCUUAGAGUGUACCUAUGGUGGUUGAUUGGGCUAUAAGAAAUGUGAGUCCAUGUGAAGAUGCCAAAUAUAAUAACACGGCUAAUUACACAUGCAGUGGCAGCAGCAACAAGUGCAUGAAUUCCACAAAUGAUCUAGGGUACACAUGCAACUGUGUCCUUGAGUAUGACAACAACCCUUAUCUUCUAGACAAAUGCAUGGUAUGCUACUAAUUUAUUUGCUAAAUAUUCCAAUGAAUUGUGUCCUUUACUUUGUACAUACCCAAUUAUAAUAUUUUAUUUUGCUAAUACAAUGUAGCCUUCAAUUUAAACCAAGGUUUGCAUCCAUUAAUUAUGUUAGGUUCAUAUGACUUCACUACAUAAAUAGGUAGAUAAUGCAUAAGACUGAGAUUGUAGCUAGGGAUGAAAAUCUAAAUACGGCAUGAAUCUAACAAUUAUGAGUAAUGUCUUUGUGACAAGAACUUUCUUUGUCUUUUAUUCCCAUGUUUGAACUAGUAUAGGUCAGGGUUACACAUUAUGGUGCACAUCACUUUAUUUGUCAUCGUUACAUUGAACACUCAUUGACUAAACAACGAUGAUCCAUCCGUCUUGUAUUACAGGUCUUCAUUUCAUUGGCCACCGAUGCUUGUAAGACUACUCCCAGAUGGUUGUUGUUGUGGAUAUGGUUGUUGAGGUUGGUGUGGUUGCUGGGGGAAUGGUUGUUGGGGUUGCUGGGAAAUUGUUUGUUCUAGUUGCUGGGAUAAUUGUUGUUGGGGCUGCAGAAAUGGUUGUUGUGGUUGUUGUGGUUGCAGGAUGGAGGGUUGCUGGGAAAAUGGUUGUUGCGGUCGUAGGGGGAAUGGUUGUUGUGGUUGUAGAGGGAAAGGUUGUUGUGGUUGUUGAGGGAAUGGUUGUUGUGGUUGUUGGGGGAAUGAUUGUUGUGGUUGCAGGGGGAAUGGUUGUUGUGGUUGCUGGGGGAANNNNNNNNNNNNNNNNNNNNNNNNNNNNNNNNNNNNNNNNNNNNNNNNNNNNNNNNNNNNNNNNNNNNNNNNNNNNNNNNNNNNNNNNNNNNNNNNNNNNNNNNNNNNNNNNNNNNNNNNNNNNNNNNNNNNNNNNNNNNNNNNNNNNNNNNNNNNNNNNNNNNNNNNNNNNNNNNNNNNNNNNNNNNNNNNNNNNNNNNNNNNNNNNNNNNNNNNNNNNNNNNNNNNNNNNNNNNNNNNNNNNNNNNNNNNNNNNNNNNNNNNNNNNNNNNNNNNNNNNNNNNNNNNNNNNNNNNNNNNNNNNNNNNNNNNNNNNNNNNNNNNNNNNNNNNNNNNNNNNNNNNNNNNNNNNNNNNNNNNNNNNNNNNNNNNNNNNNNNNNNNNNNNNNNNNNNNNNNNNNNNNNNNNNNNNNNNNNNNUGGUUGCAGAGGGAACGAUUGUUGGGUCUGGGGAAAUGGUUGUUGUGGUUGCCAGGAAAAUGGUUGUUGGGGCUGUGGAAAAGGUUGUUGUGGUUGUUGGGGUUGCUGGGGGAAUGGUUGUUGUGGUUGUAAGGGGGUCGGUUGUUGGGGUUGGGGAAAUAAUUGUUGUGAUUGCUGGGGAAAUUGUUGUUGGGGUGUGGAAAAUGGUUGUUGUGAUGGAUAUGGUUGCUGUGAUGGAUAUGGUUGUUGUGGAUAUGGCUGUUGUGGAAAUAGUUUUUGUUGAUGGGAAAAUGAUUGUUGAGGUGAUUGUAACUCUUUGUUGUUAGGGUUUAGUUGCCUAGCGGCAAUGGCGGUGUUCAUCGCCAUGGCAAGGAGGACAAAGAUGAGGAAGGUCUUCAUGUUGGAUUUGUGGUUACUACUGCUUGCUUGCCUUUGAUGCUUGUGGUCUAGGUGUGUGAAGUUUUGUUGAUGGAAGGUGUCCUUGGUGGUGCAUGUGUAUUUAUAGUUUUCAUGGCAUGGCUUGCUUUCAUCUUUGCACUCGCUCUUUGAAAAAGUGCAUCAAUGCUUAUCCAACUAAUCAUUUGGUUUGUUGUGUUUGGUGCAACUACUUACUAGUGAGAUUUUGGAUUUUCAUGAUAGUUGUUUUUUGUUGAAAUCAUCUGGUUGUAAGGAAUGUUGGAUAAUGACCAAUGACUCAUCUUCUUCACUUUACACUGCAAACAUUGAUCUAGAUUAUGUCCCUUUUUGAAAUUUAGUUUGUGGAGCUCUACAUGUUGUUAGGCUUAUCCAUAUUGGCAUAGCUUGAGUGGAGCUAAGUUUGUAAGCUUGUGUGCGCCAUUAUGAUGGAUCACACUAUUAAUGUGAUGAUUGUUUUACAAAUUAUCUUUCCAAAACUAACUUUAUGUUUUUUGCCCAAUAUGAUUCUAAGACGGAUAACCAGACAUGACUCAUCAAAUAACAAGAUAAACCGAGUAGCAAGUUGGGGGUUAUAAGUUAUAAUAUGGACUUUUCUCUAAGAUACACCAUCUUGUCUUGCAUGCUCUGUGGAUUUGAAAAGCAUCUACUAAUUUAGAUGCAAUUGAAACAAAAGUAGACUAAAAAGGUAAGCAAUGAAAUGAGAAUACUAUUAUGUGAAGCUCUACAUGUCUGGUAAGCAGUGAGAUACUGGAUACAUCUAUAUCUUCAAUCCUUUCAUCCCUAUCAACUCUUUAUUGGCUGCUUUUAUCGUAGUCAUCCCUUAAAUAAAAAUCACUUAAAUAUAAGUUUGGGAGUUAGUACCAACAUAUAUCAUGUACAAGAUAGAAAACUAAGGCACAUAUAGUAGUCUAUUGACCAUAUUUAAUUUCUUGUGAUGUGAAAGCAUGUGGAGUAUAAGUUGGUUAAAUAUAAAGUUGUCCUUCAUACCAGUAGGGAAAGAAUAUGCAGUAUAAAGAUUAGAGCAUUGGACUAAUAUGCUAUUAAAUGCUACAGGAUAAUUGACAGUUCAAGUUAAGAACAACAUUAGCAUUCCAACUUUUGUCUUGUGCAAGUUAAGAACAUGCUAACAAAGUAACCUAAGCAAAUAAGUGCAAAACCUUCACCUAUAAGGAAAUUGUGAAACUACACAAAAUGACCUAUUGUAAAGAAGGAAAAAAAUCUAAAGGUGAAUGAAAGAACGUUAAGUACAUUCAGGAUUCGAUUAUGCCUUCAUGGAUAACCUUUUAGAUGGUGACAUGUCCAUGUUGAUGUGUGUCGGCAUGGAACGAGGACAAGAAGACGUCGUUGCGUCGUACUUUGGGAAUUUCAUCAAACUGGUUGUGUGCGGGAACAAAUAUUUGUCGCCUCCCUGCUCAAAUCUCUCUUCAUGUCACUGAAUCCGACACUCCACCUACCAAAAUCAGCUGCAAGCCAGGGAUAAUCAACGGGUUUCUCCGCCCGUAGCAUCUAUCACCAAAAGUAGUUCAGACUAUAGUCUUGUAGUUCAAAAUUUUGUAAUAACAAGCACUACUAGGUUGCUUUUGUUUGUACGUCUUCAUUCUGUACAACCCAUGGAACUAAAAAUGCAUUGGUCAUUCUUUGUUCUAUACAACCAAUUCAACCAAAAAUGCAUUGGGCUUUUCUUUGUACAUCUUCGGGUUCUACAACCAAUGCAACAAAAAAUCCAUUGGGUAGUCUUCCAUUCUAGUCGGGCACCAACAGUUAAAUGAGGAGCUAAACAAUGUUGGAGUCUAAAACUACAUACAAUCAUGAAGCAUAGAGAGGCGACUUGGAAGCUGUGCUCCUGUGAGCUCGUAUUUUUGUAGACAAAAAGUAAUGUUUGUAUUUUGAAGUGGGAAAAAAUCCUAAAAAGGGAUGUUUUGCGGGUUAUAACUUACUAUUUUUGGGUCCUGGGCUGCAGGAAGGUCGUCAAAAUCAAUGUGUUUUCCCAUUCAAUGCAUGUUUCUUGGGUUAUAGGUCACGCUUUUGGUGUCCUAGGGAGAUCACUUCCCCGGUCAAGAACAUUAGGUGAUGAUUUUUAGAAAAACUCAUUGUUUUAGCCUAACUAGUUUCGAGGAUUGGUGGACGGGAUUAUCAUGGAACAAAGUGACAACCUUCCUUUUCUUCAUGCCUAAUAUAAACUUAGCAGUCAGCUAAAAGUAACUAGCGAUAUCACAGAAUGUUUUUUGUCAAAAGUAGAUACCACUUCAGGAUUCAACUCGGUUAGUUCAAUCACAGACAUGUUAAGAGCAGGAUUUACAACUAACUGCAUAGGGAACAUCUCCUUUUAUCACCCACUAUCUGUCUGUGCACUUUGGUUUUCCCGUAGCAUCACACAAAGCACUUUGUUAGUACCAAUAAUGUGCUCCAACUCUACACAUUAAUCAUCUUGAAUUCUUCUACUGAUGUCGAACAAUGUAAUAUCUUGAAUUCUUCUAACGAGUUCGGAUUAGACUACAUGGGCAAUUUAUCUGGUCCCUGAGAUGCAAGGUCGAUGAACAAUCGCUUCGUCUUAUGACGAGGGGUUGUUUUUGCCUAAGAAACUAAUACAUGUAACUUCGACACCGGAUUAAUAAAUGGUAAAACCUAAAUAAAUUAGAUCACGAGCUAAACCAUUUACUUUUGUAUGCAUUUAAACUUUUGAUACAUAUGAGCUUGUUAAGAUGUUCGCAUAAACACCAUGGUGAUUUGAAGCAAGACAAAGUAAACUUGAACCGCUUGAGCCACUGACUUAAUAAGAACCUCCUUUCCCGCGGCAGAGAUUGUUUUUAAUACAUCCACUCACUUUGGCCCAUAGUUUGUCUUUGAGAUACUUAAAAGCACUAGACAUAGAAUUGACAAUAUUAGAAGGCAAGCCCAAAUAUUUCACAUUUAGUGUUUCUACUUGGACACUGAGACCACCUUUGACCUCAUUUUUGACAUUCUCUCUGCAAUCCUUGCUGAGAAACACUGAAGGCUUCCUAUUUAUUUAUUCUUGACCUAAAGCUUCAUUGCGUCUUGCCUUGGUCUUGCACUACUUGCGGCACAAUACGCCUUUGGAACUGCCGUUCCGAAUUCAGAGUGCCGAAGGUGGUGUGACGAUGUUGAGAUACCGUACUCGUUCGGUAGUGAUUCGGGUUGAUCAUUCAGAGUAGACUUUGACAAUAGCUGCAAGGACAAGAUUGCAUUAGGGAGCCUUUUAAUUACACCUCGGAGGUGCUCAGCAUCUUCUUGAUGAACAACAUGGUCCUAGUGUUGAAUAAUAUCAUAUGGGGUAGUGCUACAACAACUCCACCACAAGCAUGGAGGAAUUUAGCAAAUUCCAUCAGUACUAGGAGAAAGCCUAGUAGCAACGCGAGGUAAAGGACUACUAGUAGCGCGGGUGCCCACGCUACUACUAGGGUGCUACAGCUAAUUGGUAGUAGUAGCGUGGGUGACACCCUGCGCUACUACCACGUCUGUUAGUAUAGUAGCGCGAGUGUCACCCGCACUACUACUAGUUAUCUGUAGCCCGGGUCUGACCCCACGCUACUACUAACUAAUUAGGAAUUAAAAAAAUAAAUUCCAUCCAUGGUUGCUGCUGCUGGGCGUCAUCGUCCUCUCCGUCCAUGGCUGAUGUUGGUCCUGGAGGGGAUGACGUCGUCCAUGGUGAUGGUACUUCCUCACCCAAAUCGUCCCCACACCUCUCCUAUGCUACUGCUACAAAAUAAGAGAAAACGAUUAGAAGAGGAAGAGAGAUAUUGAGAGGAGUAGGAGGAGCAACUGACCGGUGGCCGCCGGAGUUGGAGCUGAUGCCCGAAACCCUAGACGAUGCCCGGUGACCUGUUGCUUCUUUUCCUGGGACCUCAUGUCCUCACAAGGCCAUGUCUCAGCGAGGAAGUGCAAGUGGUUGCGUAGCAGAUCUGUUCAUCGCCAUUGGUGGCGCUCUGUUGGAUCUUCCUCUCCUUCCAGCAUCGGAGAAGGAGGAGGAAGGAGGCGAAGGUGAGGCGUAAGUCAGUGGCCCAAAAUUUUUAUAUAGAUGAGACUUACUAAGUAAUAACCCCAUAGAAUCUAUCUAUAUAAAGAUAAAGAGGCAAUCGUGUCAGGAAGCGGGUUUUUCUUUGGCCAAAAGGUACUUAGAACUUGGAACGAGCAUGAAGAGAUUAACGAGACUUCUUUCUCUUUUGAGUUUUUCUGGCGGACCUGCCGCGCAAGAUCUUUGGUCUUCCCCUGGAACCGAUGAAAAAAAGUGGAUUGCUUCUUAUGUACUCGCUCAGCUUAAGAUGCUCGCAUAAUCCCCGUGGUAAUUUGAAGCAAUACAUAGAGUAAACUAGAACUGCUUGAGCCACUAACUUAAUGAGAACCUCCUUUCCCGUAGGAUAUAUCAUUUUUUCAAUCCAUCCAUUCACUUUGGCCCAUAGUAUGUCUUUGAGAUACUUAAAAGCAGUAGAUUAGAAUUACCAAUAUCAUAAGGCAAGCCCAAAUAUUUCUCAUUUAGUGUUUCUGUUGGACACUGAGAACACCUUUGACCUCAUAUCUAACAUUCUCUACACAACCCUUGCUGAGAAACACUGAAGACUUGCUAUUAUUUAUUCUUUGACCUGAAACUUGGCAAUAGGUUUGACACAUCUGUCGCCCCUGAACCAUUUGCCUUGAAAAACAGCAGGCUGUCAUCUGCAAAUAACAAGUGGUUAACUGAUGCCACCAAAGGAGCUACUUGGAUUCCAGUAAACUGGGAUGACUAGUCUCUAGAUUUGAGGAGGCCCGAAAGGCCAUGUACUGCUAACAGGAAAAUCAAGGUGAAUUGGAUCUUGCUGCCGUAUACCACGGGUAGGUUUGAGCUCAUCAAGUUUCUUGCUCUUGAAUAAAAUUGAAUAAGAUACAGAAGCUACCAUGCUCAUUUCUAUGGAGGCCCAUUUAACAGAGAAUCCAAAGUUGAGAUUUAUCACCUCCAAAUACGCCCAUUCAACUAGAUUAUAAGCCUUCAUCAUAUCCAAUUUUAGAGUACAAUGGUGAUGUUACAAUGACUUAUUCCUUUUCAUGAAAUGUAAGCACUCGUAGGCCACGAUUAUAUUGUCAGUGAUAAGGCGACCCGGAACAGAAGCCGACUCUUCACUCAAUAUUAUCUCCGGAAGGGCCCCUUUUAGCCGGUUAGCCAGAACUUUGGGUGUUAUUUGUAAAGUUGCAUAGGCUAAUACGACAGAACUGGCUUAGGAAAGUACCAUUUUGUACCUCAUCACUAUCCUCGCCACAAUACAAAGGACAACCAUUGUUACCUCCUCGCCGCAAAUAUCCCAAUGUUUCUCAAAGAAAUGUUCAAAGAAUCCGUCCGGGCCCAAGGCCUUCAUGCGGAACAUUUGAAACAAUACAAUUUAAACCUUGUUGUAGAAUACUUAGCGUCAAGGAAGGCAUUCAUCGCAUCACUGACCUUUACUGGAACCAAGUCAGGAAAUCAUGCAUAUUAGAAACAGUCUCAGAAGUGAAAAGCUCCGAGUAAAACUAUGUUGUGAUCUCUUCCAAUUCCUUAAGAACACUGAUAACAUCACAUUAGGUUGCUACAAUGAUUUGGUCAAAUUAUUCCGCCUUCUCAUCGAAGCCCUUAAGUGAAAGAAGCAUGUGGUCUUGUCCCCACUAAUCAGCCACUUAAUCUGAGAUCUAGUAGGCAAGAUGAGUGACGGGAAGUAGUUCGGAACAAUUUCCUCUUAUUCACUUCUAAAACAAAUUUUCGGUUUUUGUCGUUCCUAAGCCAAGGAUUUGAUAAAUAUUCAUAAAUUUUUAAAAUGUUCACCAAUAUUAAAAACAUCAUGAUUUUAAAAAACCGUGAUUUUUAAACAAAAUCAUAAAUAUGAAAAUUGCCAUUCACAAAAUUUUAAAAUAAAAUCAUGAAUUUUAAAAGAAUUUUCAAAAUUUUGAUAAAUAUCUACGAAUUUUACAACUUUGAUGAAUUUUAAAAACAAACCAUAACAAAAAAACACUAGCAAGUUCGAUCCUAAAAAAUGCCUUGCCUUCUACUAUGCGUAGCGUGCAUGGACAGCCGGACCUAGACACCCUAGACCAAAAACCCUACAUCUGGGCCAGGCCCGAGCUCCAUUUUUUGGCCCAAAGCCCAGCCCAAAAAGGCAGAAAUGGUAAGAAAUGUAUACUUUAUUCAAAAUAUAGGUAUAUUAUAUUGUUUUAGUAUCUCAAAUAAUUAUUUAAAUUGAAAAAUGUCGUUGUUCAUGUGUUUCUGGACGGGCCAAGCCAGGCUCAUGCUUGGGAUUUUUGCUUCGGGCUUUGACAACCUGGCCCGGGGUAUGAUCAAGUUCAGCAUGGCCCAGUCACACACCCUUGUACAACAUUUUGUUGUAGAGAGCGGCAAAUAUAAUUUUCCCGAUCUAAUAUUGCUCGCUAUAAGUCUAUAUCUAUACUUUUUUCUAUACCCAUACUAAUAAAGCAAGGUGCGUUUCCCCAAUUUUUUCAUUCAUUCACUGUCGAAAACAAUUAUGUUUCCUAUCCGAGGUGGUCCUAAAUUCUUAUGCGUUCAUCUGCUAAAAGAAAGGCUUUUCCGGAAUUUCUUACGUGGGUUGCGCGCUAUGGCCAGUGAAGUCAGCCCACUUAUUUUUCUGCCCAUGCAGCUCUAAAAAAUCUAUUUAACACACAGGGCAAGAAAUAGUCGGCACUUCAAACUGGAAAACAAAUAAUGGGCUAGCCAAUUUUUCUUUGUUUCUGUGUUUUAUUUCUAUUUUUAUUCUCCUUCCCCGAUUUCUUUUUUCACUUCCAAGUUUACAUUUCUUAUAGAAUUUAUUUUAUAAAUUCAAAAUUCUCAAAAAACAUAGAGAAUUUUAAAAAAAUGGAAAAUGUUCAUAACUCCAAUUUUUUUGCUAUUUAAAUUUUUUUCAGAACUUGAAUUUUUUCCCUUUUUCCGAAAAUUUUAUUGUUUUUUAAAAUUGUUAGAGAUUUCUAAAAAGAAAAUGGAAAUUUAAAAAGUCUUCCAAAUUCGAAAAAAAAUCAUGUUUUAGUGAAAUUUUCACAACUCAAAUUAUUCUUAAAAAAUACACAUUUUAAAAAGUAAGGAUUUUCAAUACAUGUUCCCGUUCUAAAAAAAUGUUGACAAAUUCAAAUAAUGUUCAUGUUUUUAUUUUAAAAGUUCGUGUUUUCAAAAAUGUUUGUAAAUUCUAAAAGAUGUUCCUAUUUCAUAUUUUGUUCAUGUUUUUCUGAAAGUGUACCUAAUUUUCAAAAAACUGUUCAGGAUUUAAAAAAUGGUUCAUGUUGCCUACAAUAUUGAGAAACUUCAUACCUUAAAAUCUCCUCGAUUGAAGGAACCAUAGAUUGAAUAAUUCAUGGGCCUUCUCUGGUGGACGAUGACGUAGCAAAACUCUUAAAUGCCCUCAAUCAAUGAAUGGAAAAAUAGCGAAUUGAGUACUUCACACCCAGCGAAACAAAGAAGCUAAAUGUUCCCUUUUUACGUGCGCACAGGGUUUUGCUUGCACAAAUAAUUCUCACUAACUUCCAAUGCAUACUAAUUUUUCUCCCAUUGCGAAGCACAAGCAUAUGUGCUAGUUUUAUCCACGGUGGUACUAAAUUUUUUUGAGUCCAUCUGCUAGAAAAAGGAAAAACAGUUUUGUCAAAAUUUUCGUACAUGGGCCGCGCGCGCUGUGGCCCAGCGAAGCUGGCCCAUUUAUUUCCGGCCGAAGCAGCUGAGAAUAAUUAUUUAACGCUUGGGGCGGCAAAUAGACAAAGUUUCGCAUAGGGCGCCAAAUAUUUGGUCGGCCCAUAUUUGUUUUCUCUCUAGUUUGUUUCUUUUUUUAUUUUCCUUUCUCCUUUUCUUAUCUCUUUACUUUUUCUUUUUUCCCUUUCAAGUUAAUUUUUCUUUUCUCCUUUUCCAUAAAUUAAAUUUUUCAAUAUUUCAGAAUUUUAGUUUUGGAUUAAAUUUUCGUAAAAUCUUCAUAAUUAUUUCUCCCCAUUUUGAAUUGUUUUUAAACUAUAAUUUUUUCUUCUUCUUCUUCCAAAAUUUAUUCAAAACUAUAGAAUAAAGUUCGCAUAUUAAUUUUUUUAUGCUUUCCAAAAUUGUUUGAUAUUUUCAAAAUAUAUUGCAUUAAAAAAUUAAAUAUUUAGAUUUUAUUGAAAUGUUAAUUCAAAGUAAUGUUUGUGUUUAAAAACAUGUUUUUCAAAAUUCUUUUCAAUGUCCAAAACACGUUUUCAUUUCCAAAAAAAAUCACGUAUUCAAAACAUGUUUGCUUUCUUAUAAUAGGUUCAUGUUUUCAAAAAACAUAAAUUUCAAAAAAAUUGUCACAUCUUAAAGAAUAUUCAAAAUAUCGUAAUUAUUACUUUAUUUUUUGAAAAAAAUCAAGAAAAACAGAAAAAAAAAUGUAUAUUAUGCUACAGUAUAUUCUUAAAAUUUCGCCCUCGCCAUUUGUUAGCAUGAGCUGUUUGUUCGAGUGGCUAGCAGCACGUGGUCGAGUUUUUGAGGUCAUGAGUUUGAUCCUUCAACUCAGUGGUUGUUUUGGAUUUUUAUUCACGCCUUACAAAUACAAGUCAUUUUGGUACCUGCCAGCGGCCUUGCCAGACUCGAACUGCCGUGCAUCCGACGUGCUAUUUGACGAUAAAAGAGAAUAUGUUGCUUGACUAUAAUUAAAAAAAUGUGGGCACAUGCCAAUAAAAGAGGAUAUGCUGGUUUGACUCUGAUUAAAAAAAUGUUGGCAAGUGAGCGUCGAAAUAAUUAAAGAGAAUAAACCCUGGUAAAGUAGGGACUACCUGGUUACGUGCUUAUUAUACCAAAGAAACGGGAUUUCCUGCAAUUAGUACUUCAACCGGUUACACCAUCAUAGGAGAGAGUAGUCGAAGCAACUAUGCCACGAAGGUCGCCGUGCUGCACAAAAUGAGGAGGCAACCGCAACCUAGACACGGAGGCAGACUCGGAGAAAAAAAAGCGCAAGUUGGGUGGUGGCCACCACUCCAGCAACCCCAUCAAUAUCAAGAACUCGUGGGCCAAACAUGAUCUCAAGAACAUCGCCGGGGAGACCUUUUGAUGGACACAUCAAUUAUCUCUCCUGAUACUUCUCGUUAAAAAUAUCUUUCUAGUUCUAACGCACGGGCAUAUGUGCUAGUGAUAUAUAAAAUAUGUUGUGCCAAUGAGCACACGGGCUAGCGAGACUCGCCAUGCUUUCAUGUCAUACCGGAGUCCAAACACUCAACUGGAGGGUCCAACCUUAGCGACAGAGUCUUCUUUUGUUGGGAGAAUCUAUAUAUCCGCGAGUGUUAUAUCUCGCAUCUGGUUUACGCGCAGUGCACCUAACCACUAGGCUUUGCCUUACAUUCAUGACAGAGUAGUAAAGCUAGAUUGUUUAAGUCCACACGAGUCAAGGUUUUCAAUGUUUCUUCUCCAUUUUUUUUCAUUUUUUCAUUUUUGUUUUUAUAUUUAUUUCUGUCGGGUUUGUUUGAUCCCUUUCGAGGGCAUAAUAGAGGAACCACACCGUGGUGAUGUGGAUGGGUUUAUAGAUACCAUCACUGUAGGGGAAACGAGGAAGGUUUUCGAUGCACGAAUCACUAGCAUACAUUUUCAUGUUUUACGCUAAUUUGCAAUAUUUGCUAGUCGUUGCUUAAUUGGUUGCGGAAACUGUGGAAACCUUAGUGUUCCUGAUAUUAUUAUUUUGUUCCACGGUUUAUUCUGUGAUAACUCUAUUAGUAUGGGCGGUAUUAUUCCUAAAUGGUUAAGUCUGAACUGUACAAAGGGCCCCAUCUUUGGAGGCAUCUAUGCUUCACACCUAGCUGCGCAUUUUAACAUAGCUAUUAGGCAUUAUGAGAAGGAAGAAAAAUUGCUACCCCCUGUUUAUUUAGAUUAUAAUAGUAUGGUGGCACAUGAUUUUAUUGUUAAGAAUAAGGAAGGGGAGCUUAAAUACAAAUUGUUCUUUGAUAAACAUCAUCCUGAGACUAUUACCCUGCCUGCUCCUUCCUUGUUUGAUUUAUCUGCAGGCAAGUACCUCGUUCCAUUAGAGGCUAUUCACGCCUACCGAAACCCUACAUCAGCCAUAGAGCCAGAGUCGGAACCACAAGUUGAUUCUCCAUGACAGUCUAAUUACCAUUGGGAUCCAGAAAUGAUUGCCACCAGUGGCAAUCAGAGUCUUCUUCGCAGUACGACCCCAACUAUUACUAUGGAUAUCCGCCAGGCCAGCCGUGGCCAUAGACCAACUUAGGUCAAAAGCCUAAACUUGGGGGAGUACGUAUUUCCCGCCGACAUUACAUUCAUGUUCGCACACUCAUUGCUAGAUGUCGGUGCUCAUACUUUUUCAUUGUAUCAUCCAUACUAGUUCAUUUCCUUUUUAAGCUUUCUUCUUGUGUGUUUAAUAAACCUUAAGAAAAACCAAAAACAUUAGUUGUAGCUUUUAGCUAGUUUUAAUUUCCAUGCUCGUAGUAGUAAUUAAAAAGAAAACCCAAAAAAAAGAUUUCAUGUUCUUCUUUUGCUUGUUGGGAGCUUUCCCGUGUAAAUAGUUUUAUUUCUUUUCUUUUCUUUGGGGGUCGAUAGGAGAAGACCAUGAUUAAAUUGUUGAAGUGGCUCUUAUAUGUAUUUUUGUUGAUCUGACAAAAGAGCCCAUAUUGCCUCGACUUCUCCUGUUUAUUGAAUGCUUGCAGAUUCCAGCUUAGUCCAAUGCACGUGCACUAUUAUUAUUAUCCACAUCAUUCGGUCGUGCAAGUGAAAGGCAAUUAUGACGAUAUAUGAUGGACUGACUGAGAUGAGAAAAGCUGGUAUGAACUCAACCUGUCUUGUUUUUGUAAAUAUGAUUAGUUCAUCGUUCCUGAUUCAGCCUAUUAUGAAUAAACAUGUUUGCAAUGACAACUAGAGAUCAUAGUUUCUUGUGCCAUGCUUGAUUAGCUAGGAGCUUAUAAUGGUUUACCUUGCGUGCCAACAUGCUAUUAAAAUGGUUGUGAUGUGGUAUGAUAGGGUGGUAUCCUCCUCUGAACGAUUCGAGUGGCUUGACUUGGCACAUAUUCACGCAUGUAGUUGAAACAAAAUCAACAUAGCCUCUACGAUAUUUAUGUUCAUGGUGAAUUAUAUCCUACUCAUGCUUGCAUUCGGUGCUGAUUAAUUUUAAUGCAUGUUUAUGACUGUUGUCGCUCUCUAGCUGGUCGCUUCCCAGUCUUUUGCUAGCCUUCACCUAUACUAAGCGGGAAUACUACUUGUGCAUCCAAUCCCAUAAACCCCAAAGUUAUUCCAUAUGAGUCCACCAUACCUACCUAUUUACGGUAUCUACCUGCCGUUGCAAGUAAAUUUGUAUGUGCCAAACUCUAAACCUUCAAAUAAAUAUCAUGUUUUGUAUGCUCGAAUAGCUCAUGUAUCAACUAGGUUUGUCUGUAUCUUUCAUGUUAGGCGGGUUAUUCUCAAGAGGAGUGGACUCCGCUCCUCACUCGCGAGAAAAUGGCUGGUCACCCGGAUGCCUAGUCCCAUGCUUUAUGCAAAUCAAAUCAAAAUAAUUGCAAACAAAAUUGCCCCUGGGACUCUUGUUAGUUGGAGGCACUCGUUGUUUCGAGCAAGCCAUGGAUUGAUGCUUGUUGGUGGAGGGGGGGUAUAAAAUUUUCCAUUCUGUUUGGGAACCGCCUAUAAUGUGUGUAGCAUGGAAGAUAUCACCAUCUCUUGGUUGUUAUGUUGACAAUGAAAGUAUACCGCUCAAAAUAUUAUUUACCUCUAUUUCAAAAUCGAGCUCUGGCACCUCUACAAAUCCCUGCUUCCCUCUGCGAAGGGCCUAUCUAUUUACUUUUAUGUUGAGUCAUCAUCCUCUUAUUAAAAUGCACCAGUUGGAGAGCACCGUUGUCAUUUGCAUUCAUUACUAUUAUUUUACAUUGAAUAUGACUUGACUGGAUCUCUUUUACCAUGAAUUACAAUGUCUAGUCAGUCCUUGAUCUUUAAAGGUGCUCUACAUUUAUGUUUUGCGGUCUCAGAAAGGGCUAGCGAGAUACCAUCUUGUUAUAUCAUAUCAUGAUUGUUUUGAGAAAGUGUUGUCAUCCGAGAUUUAUUGUUAUUGCUCGCUAGUUGAUUAUGCCAUUGAUAUGAGUAAACAUGAUACAUAAAUGUUAUUGGAAUAUGGUUAGUUCAUAAUCUUUGCUGAAAACUUGAAUGCUGGCUCUACAUAUUUACAACAACAAGAGCAAACAGAGUUUGUAAAAGUUUUUCUUUAUCACUUUCAGUUUAUCAACUGAAUUGCUUGAGGACAAGCAAAGGUUUAAGCUUGAGGGAGUUGAUACGUCUCCGUCGUAUCUACUUUUCCAAACACUUUUGCCCUUGUUUUGGACUCUAACUUGCAUGAUUUGAAUGGAACUAACCCGGACUGACGUUGUUUUCAGCAGAAUUGCCAUGGUGUUAUUUUUGUGCAGAAAUAAAAGUUCUCGGAAUGACCUAAAAAUCAAAGGAGAAUUAUUUUGAAAUAUAUAAAAAAUAUUGGAAGGAAGAUCCACGUCAGGGGGGCCUCCACCUGUCCACGAGGGUGGAGAGCGUGCCCUACCCCCCUGGUGCUACCUCUUGAGCACUGCGUUGGUUUUCCCUUGAAGAGGAAAGGGUGAUGCAGUAAAGUAGUGUAAGUAUUUCCCUCAGUUUUUGAGAACCAAGGUAUCAAUCAAGUAGGAGAUCACGCUCGAGUCCCGCGCACCUACACAAACAAAUAAGAACCUCGCAACCAAUGCAAUAAAGGGGUUGUCAAUCCCUUCACGGUCACUUACGAGAGUGAGAUGUGAUAGAUAGGAUAAGAUAAUAUUUUUGGUAUUUUUAUGAUAAAGAGAAAUAAAGAUGCAAAGUAAAAUAAACAGCAAUAGAAAUAACUAAGUAUCACCUGGGCGCACCCCCCUGCCUCGUGGACCCCCUGACGCUCCACCGACCUCAACCCUGACUCCAUAUAUUCACUUUCGGGGAGAAAAAAACCAGAGAGAAAGAUUCAUCAUGUUUUACGAUAUGGAGCCGCCGCCAAGCCCUAAACUCUCUCGGGAGGGCUGAUCUGGAGUCUGUUCGGGGCUCCGGAGAGGGGAAUCCGUCGCCAUCGUCAUCAUCAACCUUCCUCCAUCACCAAUUUCAUGAUGCUCACCGCCGUGCGUGAGUAAUUCCAUCGUAGGCUUGCUGGACGGUGAUGGGUUGGAUGAGAUUUAUCAUGUAAUCAAGUUAGUUUUGUUAGGGUUUGAUCCCUAGUAUCCACUAUGUUCUGAGAUUGAUGUUGCUAUGACUUUGCUAUGCUUAAUGCUUGUCACUAGGGCCCGAGUGCCAUGAUUUCAGAUCUGAACCUAUUAUGUUUUCAUCAAUAUAUGAGUGUUCUUGAUCCUAUCUUGCAAGUCUAUAGUCACCUACUAUGUGUUAUGAUCCGGCAACCCCGAAGUGACAAUAAUCGGGACCACUCCUGGUGAUGAUCGUAGUUUGAGGAGUUCAUGUAUUCACUAUGUGUUAAUGCUUUGGUCUGGUACUCUAUUAAAAGGAGGCCUUAAUAUCCCUUAGUUUCCGCUAGGACCCUGCUGCCACGGGAGGGUAGGACAAAAGAUGUCAUGCAAGUUCUUUUCCAUAAGCACGUAUGACUAUAUUCGGAAUACAUGCCUACAUUACAUUGAUGAAUUGGAGCUAUUUCUGUGUCACCCUAGAUUAUGACUGUUACAUGAUGAACCGCAUCCGACAUAAUUCUCUAUCACCAAUCCAUUGCCUACGAGCUUUCCAUAUAUUGUUCUUUGCUUAUUUACUUUUCCGUUGCUAUUGCUAUCAUCACUAUAAAACAACAAAAACAUUACUUUUGCUAUCGUUACCUUUUGCUACCGUUACCACUACUAUCAUAUUACUUUGCUACUAAACACUUUGCUGGAGAUAUUAAGUUUCCUGGUGUGGUUGAAUUGACAACUCAGCUGCUAAUACUUGAGAGUAUUCUUUGGCUCCCCUUGUGUCGAAUCAAUAAAUUUGGGUUCAAUACUCUACCCUCGAAAACUGUUGCGAUCCCCUAUACUUGUGGGUUAUCAUUGCUCCUGCAGCGGGUCUUGCACCUAGCGGUGCUUCUAGGACGUAAUUCUUCUGUGUAGCAAUGAGGAUAAUUCUCAAGUUAUGGACCCAGUCCGUGUAGUUGCUACCAUCAUCUUUCAACUUAGCUUUCUCUACGAACGCAUUAAAAUUCAAAGGAACAGUAGCAGGGGCCAUUGAUCUACAAUAACAUAGACAUGCAAAAUACUAUUAGGUGCUAAGUUCAUGAUAAAUUAAAGUUCAAUUAAUCAUAUUACUUAAGAACUCCCACUUAGAUAGACAUCCCUCUAGUCAUCCAAAUGAUCACGUGAUCCAUAUCAACUAAACCAUGUCUGAUCAUCACGUGAGAUGGAGUAGUUUCAAUGGUGAACAUCACUAUGUUGAUCAUAUCUACUAUAUGAUUCACGCUCGACCUUUCGGUCUCAGUGUUCCGAGGCCAUAUCUGCAUAUGCUAGGCUCGUCAAGUUUAACCCGAGUAUUCUGCGUGUGCAAAACUGGCUUGCACCCGUUGUAUGUGAACGUAGAGCUUAUCACACCCGGUUAUCACGUGGUGUCUCGGCACGAUGAACUAUAGCAAUGGUGCAUACUCAGAGAGAACACUUGUACCUUGAAAUUUAGUGAGAGAUCAUCUUAUAAUGCUACCGCCGUACUAAGCAAAAUAAGAUGCAUAAAGGAUAAACAUCACAUGCAAUCAAAAUAAGUGAUAUGAUAUGGCCAUCAUCAUCUUGUGCCUUUGAUCUCCAUCUCCAAAGAACCGUUAUGAUCACCAUCAUCACCGGCUUGACACCUUGAUCUCCAUCGUAGCAUCGUUGUCAUCUCGCCAACUAUUGCUUCUACGACUACCGCUACCGCUUAGUGAUAAAGUAAAGCAAAAACAAGUGUGAUGUCCUCUACUUUGUUGUUGCAAGUUUUACGUGGCUGCUACGGGCUUCUAGCAAGAACCGUUCUUAUCUACGCCUCAAAACCACAACAAUUUUUCGUCAAGUGUGUUGUUUUAACCUUCAACAAGGAUCGGGCGUAGUCAAACUCGAUUCAACUAAAGUUGGAGAAAUAGACACCCACUAGCCACCCGUGUGUGAAGCACCUCGGUAGAACCAGUCUCAUGAACGCGGUCAUGUAAUGUCGGUCUGAGCCACUUCAUCCAACAAUACCGCCAAAUCAAAGUAAGACGUUGCUGGUAAGAAGUAUGACUAUUAUCGUCCACAACUCAUUGUGUUCUACUCAUGCAUAUAACAUCUACGCAUAGACCUGGCCCGGAUGUCACUGUUGGGAAACGUAUUAUUUCAAAAAAAAAUCCUACAAUCACGCAAGAUAUAUCUAGGAGAAGCAUAGCAAUGAGCGGGGAGAGUGUGUCCACGUACCCUCGUAGACCGAAAGCGGAAGCAUUUAGUAACACGGUUGAUGUAGUCGAACGUCUUUGCGAUCCAACCAAUCCAAACACCUAACGUACGGCACCUCCGCAUUCAGCACACGUUCAGCUCGAUGACAUCCCUCGAGCUCUUGAUCUAGUUGAGGCCGAGGGAUAGUUCCGUCAUCGCGAUGGCGUGGCGACGGUGAUGAUGAAGUUACCGGCGCAGGGCUUCGCCUAAGCACUACGACGAUAUGACCGAGGUGUGUAACUGUGGAGGGGGGCACCGCACACGGCUAAGAGAAACUUGUGUCUUUGGGGUGCCCCCUCCCACGUAUAUAAAUGGAGGGAGGAGGCCGGCCCAAGGGGGGGCGCCACAUGUGGGGAGUCCUACUAGGACUCCCUUGUCCUAGUAGGAUUCCCCUCUCCUUUCCUUUUACGGAGGGGGAAAGGGGGGAAGGAGAGGAGGGGAAGAGGGAAAGGGGGGCACGCCCCCUCCCCUUCCUAUUCGGACUCCACUUGGGGGGGACGCGCACGCCUCCCCCUUGUGGGUUGUCCCCUCUUCUCUCCCAUGGCCCAUAAGGCCCAUGAUUUCCCCCAGGGGGUUCCCGUAACCUCCCGGUACUCCGAAAAAAUUCCCGAAUCACUCGGAAUCAUUCCGAUGUUCAAAUGCAACCUUACAAUAUAUGAAUCUUUACCUCUCAACCAUUUUCGUGAUCUCAUCUGGGACUCCGAACAAACUUCAGUCAUCAAAUCACAUAACUCAUAAUACAAAUUGGCAUCGAACGUUAAGUGUGUGGACCCUACGGGUUUGAGAACUAUGUAGACAUGACCGAGACACAUCUCCGGUCAAUAACCAAUAGCGGAACCUAGAUGCUCAUAUUGGCUCCUACAUAUCUACGAAGAUCUUUAUCGGUCAAACCGCAUAACAACAUACGUUGUUCCCUUUGUCAUAUGUAUGUUAUUUGCCCGAGAUUCGCUCGUCGGUAUCCUCAUACCUAGUUCUAUCUCGUUACCGGCAAGUCUCUUUACUUGUUCCAUAAUGCAUCAUCUGGUAACUAACUCAUUAGUCACAUUGCUUGCAAGGCUUAUAGUGAUGUGCAUUACCGAGAGGGCCCAUAUAUACCUCUCUGAUACACGGAGUGACAAAUCCUAAUCUCGAUCUAUGCCAACUCAAGAAACACCAUCGGAGACACCUGUAGAGCAUCUUUAUAAUCACCCAGUUACGUUGUGAUGUUUGAUAGCACACUAAGUGUUCCUCCGGUAUUCGGGAAUUGCAUAAUCUCAUAGUCAUAGGAACAUGUAUAAGUCAUGAAGAAAGCAAUAGCAAUAAAAUUAAACGAUCAUUGUGCUAAGAUAACGGAUGGGUCUUGUCCAUCACAUCAUUCUCUAAUGAUGUGAUCCCGUUCAUCAAAUUACAACACAUGUCUAUGGUUAGGAAACUUAACCAUCUUUGAUUAACGAGCUAGUCUAGUAGAGGCAUACUAGGGACACUCUGUUUGUCUAUGUAUUCACACAUGUACUAAGUUUCCGGUUAAUACAAUUUUAGCAUGAAUAAUAAAGAUUUAUCAUGAUAUAAGGAAAUAUAAAUAACAACUUUAUUAUUGCCUCUAGGGCAUAUUUCCUUCAGGAAGAGCAUUGCGGGUGGGAGGGAGAAGGGGAAUUAAGAGAGUGUAGGUUUCGGUUUGGGCCUCCGCGCGCUAUGUGUACACAUGUGUUGGUGGGUCAAUAGUAGUGGCGCCAGGUUUAUACCCCACACUACUACUAUGGCCUAUCCCGGGGGUACGAUAGAGACCACUUAGUAGUAGCGAGGGAUUUAUACCCCUCGGUACUACUAUCAACUUAGUACUAGUGAGGGAUUUAUACCCCUUGCUACUACUAUCAACUUAGUAGUAGUGAGGGAUUUAUACCCCUCGAUACUACUAUGGCCAGUCCCGGGGGGCACGGUGGAGACCACUUAGUAGUAGUGUGGGGUUUAUACCGCUCGCUACUACUAUCAACUUAGUAGUAGCGUGGGUUCUAUACCCCUCUCUACUAAUAAUUAGCAGCAGUGUGGCCCAUAUACCCCUUGCUACUGUUAAGCAUCUAUCUAUAAAUUAUUUUCUAGUAGUGCAUCAAUGGCGGCGAAAUCAGUCAUUCUGCUUGUUUUCCCUACUAGCUCUCUGACGUCCAGAACAAGUUUACGGUCAUAAGGUGCAAUGCCCUUGCCUUCAUGAGUGACACGAUGACACGGGAACGGGCUUCCAAGCCUAUGGUGUCGCAUCGUGUCGUGGUCUGCUAAACUUAGUGGACGGAUGCUACUCCAAUAUCGGUUGAUCCUAUACUACGGUACCAAGGAAGACACGCAACUACUAUAUAUAUUUCUUCAAGUCAGUCAACACAAGUAAACUCUGGGAGUUCAACUGGUGCAGCUAUGCAAUGCUAAUGGAGACAACACAAUUCAACUUUAGCACUUCACACAUAAGAAAAACCACGUUCAAUGGCACACACCUUAGAGUGUACCUAUGGUGGUUGAAUGGGCUAUAAGAAAUGUGAGUCCAUGUGAAGAUGCCAAACAUAAUAACACGGCUAAUUACACAUGCAGUGGCAGCAGCAACAAGUGCGUGAAUUCAACAAAUGAUCUAGGGUACACAUGCAACGGUGUCCUUGAGUAUGACAACAACCCUUAUCUUCUAGACAAAUGCAUGGUAUGCUACUAAUUUAUUUGCUACAAAUUCCAAUGAAUUGUGUCCUUUGCUUUGUACAUACCCAAUUAUAAUAUUUUAUUAUGCUAAUACAAUGUAGCCUUCAAUUUAAACCAAGGUUUGCAUCCAUUAAUUAUGUUAGGUUCAUAUGACUUCACUACAUAAAUAGGUAGAUAAUGCAUAAGACUGAGAUUGUAGCUAGGGAUGAAAAUCUAAAUACGGCAUGAAUCUAACAAUUAUGAGUAAUGUCUUUGUGACAAGAACUUUCUUUGUCUUUUAUUCCCAUGUUUGAACUAGUAUAGGUCAGGGUUACACAUUAUGGUGCACAUCACUUUAUUUGUCACCGUUACAUUGAACACCCAUUGACUAAACAACGAUAAUCCAUCCGUCUUGUAUUACAGGUCUUCAUUUCAUUGGCCACCGAUGCUUGUAAGACUACUCCCAGAUGGUUGUUGUUGUGGAUAUGGUUGUUGAGGUUGGUGUGGUUGCUGGGGGAAUGGUUGUUGGGGUUGCUGGGAAAUUGUUUGUUCUAGUUGCUGGGAUAAUUGUUGUUGGGGCUGCAAAAAUGGUUGUUGUGGUUGCAGGAUGGAUGGUUGCUGGGGUUGGGGCUGGGGAAAUGAUUGUUGUGAUUGUUGGGGUUGCUGGGAAAAUGGUUGUUGCGGUUGAAGGGGGAAUGGUUGUUGUGGUUAUAGAGGGAAAGGUUGUUGUGGUUGUUGAGGGAAUGGUUGUUGUGGUUGUUGNNNNNNNNNNNNNNNNNNNNNNNNNNNNNNNNNNNNNNNNNNNNNNNNNNNNNNNNNNNNNNNNNNNNNNNNNNNNNNNNNNNNNNNNNNNNNNNNNNNNNNNNNNNNNNNNNNNNNNNNNNNNNNNNNNNNNNNNNNNNNNNNNNNNNNNNNNNNNNNNNNNNNNNNNNNNNNNNNNNNNNNNNNNNNNNNNNNNNNNNNNNNNNNNNNNNNNNNNNNNNNNNNNNNNNNNNNNNNNNNNNNNNNNNNNNNNNNNNNNNNNNNNNNNNNNNNNNNNNNNNNNNNNNNNNNNNNNNNNNNNNNNNNNNNNNNNNNNNNNNNNNNNNNNNNNNNNNNNNNNNNNNNNNNNNNNNGAAUGGUUGGUGGGGAAUUAUUUGUUCUGGUUGCUGGGGAAUUAUUUGUUCUGGUUGCUGGGGGAAUGGUAGUUGGGGUUGGGGAAAUGGUUGUUGGGGUUGCUGGGGGAAUGGCUGUUGUGGUUGCAGAGGGAACGAUUGUUGGGUCUGGGGAAAUGGUUGUUGUGGUUGCCAGGAAAAUGGUUGUUGGGGCUGUGGAAAAGGUUGUUGUGGUUGUUGGGGUUGCUGGGGGAAUGGUUGUUGUGGUUGUAAGGGGGUCGGUUGUUGGGGUUGGGGAUAUAAUUGUUGUGAUUGCUGGAGAAAUUGUUGUUGGGGUGUGGAAAAU
RNAcentral lists this long non-coding RNA (75396 nucleotides) under Triticum aestivum (bread wheat). Its description in RNAcentral is "long non-coding RNA (TAES_LNC024663)". The record is from RNAcentral. Lineage: Eukaryota; Viridiplantae; Streptophyta; Magnoliopsida; Poales; Poaceae.